AAGGAGUAAAGAGUACUCGCCGUAACCAAAAAACAAAAAUAUGCAGUUCAAAAAAAUGUGACAGGCUAUGAGAUGGGAUUCAAGGAAACCAAUCCUAAAACAAUCACAACACCACAAACCAGUUGUUCUCCCAAUACCACACUUAAGUCUCACUUCCCAUUUGAAAACACCCAGAUUUGAGAAAGGAAUCCCUGGCCCUCAUCAGGCCCUUCAUAAAAGUGAGGGUCUACAGGUUUCACCUUCACCUAAAGCCGUUGCAUCUAGCCCUCAACAUGGCACUGGCUGCAAGGCCCCACAACAGUGAACUUCACUUUAGACGGAACAAUUCCCUCGAUGUAUGUCCUGAUGGCCAAGAGCCCUUGCCGAGCUUCGACGAUGGCAUCCCUGCCCAUGGGGCAGCCAUAGCAUUUGUCUGAUCCGUUGACAGAACACCUAGAGACACUAUCUCCGUUGGUGGUGUCCAGUGUAAGAUAUUCAAGUGACUUUGUACUCUCAAGAAUGUGACAUGUUAGCUUAACCAAGCACUUUGCAGAGGAGAAACCAGUAAUAGUCACACUCUUUAGCUUGUCAUGGUGGUGCUCCGGCAUCUGCCUCCGACCUGAAGGAUCUGCAAAAAUGGAUGGAUGCCGCAUGCUGUUCCACACCGCCUAAAUAUGAGUUAACAGUUCCACCAUAGUUAAGUGAUAUAUUCGAAGGGCGAGAUCUGAAAAGGGAGAUAUCUUUACAGGGCGAAGAGACUUACAUUCAGGAUGAAUGUCUCCAAUGAAGGAGAAGCAUCAAAAAAUGAUAUGAGAGAACAAUAAUCAUAGGCUGGGGGCGCAGCAAGAACAACAGUCAAGUGCUUGAGGAAUGGAAAUUUGCUACCAAUCAUUGGUGUACUGAGCAUCUGCGUAAAGAUCUUGGAUUAAAAUUAUGCAAGUGCAUGGCUACUGUUGUAAUAUCAUGAUACACAAUUUCAGUAGUCUAUAGUCACCAGAAAAUUCGCAGUAUACCUCACUGUGUGAACAUAUAGAAAUAGUUUCAAGAUUUGGCAAGCUGGAUGGAAGAUUGGCACGAGCAUAACAGAGAGCACCACGACACUGCAUGACUAGGGUCUUCAAUUGUAAUGCUUCUCCAAACGAGAGAUGUGCUAGGUGGUCACUGAUAAACCGAAAAUUGGAGAGACAUUGAGCUUCAAUCUCUAUCGCUUGCAGCCUCUUACAGUUAGACACCUCAAGGGUGAUGAGCCACUGCAGCAGGGAAGGUAUCUUCAGUCUAAUAAUCUUACUGCAAUACAUGAGUGCCAACUGCUGCAAAGCAACAGAAUUUUCUAGAAGGCAAGCUAACUCAUUUCCUGUAAUACGGACAUCAAACAGCUCAAGUUGAGUCAAACUACUCAAACCAAGUCUGACUGUAGGACAGAACACACACUGGUAAAGAUUCAGACACCGAAUCGAGUUUCCACCUCCUUCAGAUAGAAGUGAACAUGGGAAGUUGAACUUUUUUUUUGCUCACAGAAGGAAUAACAGUGAGUUCUUCAAUCCCAGGUGUGACGGCAAUCUGAAGCCAACGAUCAAGAUAAUAGCCCUGUUAAUAGGCCCUGUUAAUACAAUCCCUUUUCUGCCAUGUAACACCUGCAAAAUUUUCUACCAACAAUCUGAAGCCAACGAUCAAGAUAAACAGCUCUAACAAAGCGUGCCUCUAGAGAGAAAUCUUGCGUGACCUAUACUCUAUUAUUCAUUUGAUUUUGUUGUCUUACAAAAGGAAACAGUAGUGGUGGCUCUCCGGCAAGGAUCGGCAAAACAAAUAGAGGUAGCAAUCGAGGUGUUUGAUCGUGCAAGAGGAUAGGCACGUCUAGAGCGACGCGUCACAAACACCUGAUGGAGCACAUCAGUGGAAAAGCUCUAGCGGUGCAGUUGCUUCAGCCGCCUGUGAAACAAAAUGCUUCUUUAGUAUGUUUGAAAACUAUGUAGUUUUAUGAUAUCACAUGGGAAGUUGUUUUGUAUGUAGGUGUUUCCCUCCACCUUGCUAUUUCGAGUUUUACUUUAUUUUGAUGUUUAGUUGGUGACUGUUGUAUCAAGCUUUGAAUGAUUUCAAUGACGAAAACGAGGAUCAAUCCCUUUCUUCAAGAAAAAAAUGGGGAGUUUGGUCGCCACAUUUACCCCACGUGGUAGAUCGGAGGUGAUCUACCGAAAGGUGGCAUGCAAGUGAAACUUACAGUGUGGCGCGGGAUACACAUGAUAUCAAUACUUACCCCACCUCCCCUACAACAUCAAGUAGACCAAGGGCGAGGAAAAACCACAUUAAGAAGGCAAGGAGAGAAGGUGUUUGCGCUGCCAUUGCCUGGAUGGCCCUACCAACCAUACUACUGAAACUAAUAAAGAAGAUAAUCAUUUAGACUACUACAUGCCAACAAUUAUUCCCUAAUCCAAACUCGUCGGCCCUAGUAGAGUAGACCCAACCCAACAUAUCAACCAACCUAACAAGCACACCUUUCACGUAAUCAUGCUUUAUGCCGACUAAACAUUUGCUAAUGUGGAAAGUUAUAUAAUAUAUAUAUAUAUAUGUAUAUAUAUAUAUAUAUAUAUAUAUAUAUAUAUAUAUAUAUAUAUAUAUAUAUUAUGUGCUCUUUCCACUUUUGUGAUGUUCUUAGCUGGUUUUAUGUACGGGCUAUUGACCAUAAGAUUGCUCCAGGUCUUAGGUGCUAGUUUUAUCCUAAUCAUGCCAUUUCCAAUUUAAUUAUUCAAAGUUACAUAUUAUGUGCAGUUGCCAACUUGCCAUGUUGUGAGAGGGUGGAUCUUUGUAUUAUUGACAAUGAGAUUGGUCGGUGGUUAAUAAUGUACAAGUUGACGGUUUCUUUUUAUCUUUAAUUUAACUUUCAAUGGGCUUGCACCGGAUGAAUGUGAGGGAAAAGAGAAAUAUACUCUACUUAUUAUCUCUUAGUCAGAUUUGUGAACAAUUAGUUCGUUUAUUUAGACUAUGUCAUUUUCACCUUAAUAAUUCAAGGCUAUAUGGAUUUGUAUAUGACACUGAGCUUGGUCCGUGUUUGUUAGUUUAUUCAGAUCAUGCCAUUUCCUCCUUUAUCCAAAGUUAUAUAUUAUAUAUUAUCCAUAAUCCGUCGGCUGUCAAACAAACGUGAGCCCUUAAAGCUUGGAGGAGACAUGAGCUUAAUUACAAGCAACUCCGUUUAUACGAAUAAAAAUUACAAAAAUACAUGAAACUUAUUAACAACAUGUAUGGCACGUUCAUUCGCCAAAAAAAAGAAAACAUGUGUGGCACGUUGUCCAUAUUUUAGUUGUUUCUGACCUAGCUAGAGUAGGCUAAGAAUAUUGUAAGGUCGGACAUGGAGAAGCCGUUGAAAUGAGAGCCGGAGCCGAUCGAGUAGGCGCCCAUGUCGUCGAACACGAGCCAGUCCCCCACGCUCAUCUCCGGUAGCCGGUACCCUGUCACGACGGUGUCAAGUGAGUCGCCCGUCGGUCCGAACACCGUUGAAGUGUACGUCUCCUCGCCGGUGCUUGGGGCGGCGAGCGGUCUUGGGCGCGGCACGUAGUCGUCCAUGAGGACGCAGUUGAGGGAGCCGUAGAGUCCAUCGUCGAUCCAGUACUCCCGCACCUCGCCGCGCGUGCGCUUGCCGAUGACCCGCGCCGCCAGCGUGAAGGCCGUCUCAGCAAAGUACCGUCCCGGCUCGCCGAUGACCUCCACGCACGGGAGGUCGCCGAAGUGCUCCGCCAGCGCGUCGCGGAUGACCGCCGCCGCCUCUUCGAAAGUGGUGCCUCCUGCCAUGAAGCCGCCGCCGACGUCGAGCACGCGCAUUGCCGGCAUGCCGAGCGCGGCGGCCGCGUCGAACGCCGCGCGCGCGGCCUCGAUGGCCCCGCGGUACACGUCGGUGCGGGUCCCUCCGCUGCCGAUGUGGAAGGACACGCCGGCCACGCCGAGGCCCGCGCGCUGCGCGGCGCGGAGCAACGGCACCACCUCGUCGGCGUGCGCGCCGUAUUUAGUGCCGAGGUCGACCUUGGCGUCGCCGUUGUCGGGGCCCUUGAUGCGGAGGAUGAGCUCGCAGCCGGGAUGGCAGCGCUUCACCUUGGCCACCUCCUCCUCGGAGUCGUACGUGGUGAGGUUGACGCCCACCUGCGCCGCGUACUCGAUGUGCUCCUCGGGCUUGCACGGGUUGGCGUACACGAUGCUGCCCUGCUCCACGCCGAGUGCGAGCACGGCCUCGAUCUCCCUGCGGCUGGCGCAGUCGAACCCGGCGCCGAGGGCGGCCAGCGCGCCGAGCAGCGCCGGCUCCGGAUUGCACUUGACGGCGUAGUACGCCCGCACGUCCGGGAGUGCGCGGCGCCAGCGCAUGUACAGGUCGACGACCCUGGCGAGGUCGAGGACGUAGAAGGCGCUGCGCACGCCCGAGCCGGCGAUGGAGCGCAUGAGGCUGACGGCGGCGUGCUUCUCCAUGAGCGCGUCCCGCUUGUAAGGGAGUACUUGCUUGUCCUUCACCCCCGGCGCCACCAGCACCGCCUGCAUGGGACUGCUUCCAACCAUGUCGACGGCGACGACGUGAUCACACACUUAAAUACGUAGUGAAAGAGUGUGAUCACGCGCGCGUACGAGUACUUCAAGGUUUCUCAACCUAGCUUGCUAACCUGAGGUUGCUCGAGCUAGACGCCAACGCGAUCGAGCAAUGCAAGUCGACUACCGAUGCCAAAUGCAGAUCGAGGAGGUGGAUCGAUGGCUUGGUCGAAUGCUUGUGUUGCCUGGCUGAGAUGAACUCGGCGUGGGUGGGUUAUAUAUAGUGCGCGGGGCCGGGGCUAGAGCAUAUCCAACAUGCGCCGGAUUUUAGCAGCGCGCUGGAAAAAUCGCUUUUUUUUUAAGCGCGCGCAGCCGGAAUGGGCGCUCUAACAGACACGCAAAAAACGCGCGCGCUAGCAAAACGGCACCGCGCGUCGCUUAUUUCGUGCGUCCGCUUCCACGCGCUGGAUAGGAGAGAGAGAGAGAGAGAGAGAGAGAGAGAGAGAGAGAGAGAGAGAGAGGUGGUGACGCCGCGACGACUUACCACGGGCUCGCGUUUGCCGGCGGUGUUGCUCCGGCUGCAUAGAGAUGAUCCGCUCUAGCGCCGGAAGCCCCAUGGUCGAUAGGACACCGCCGCUGACGCCCUUGGUCGAGGCACGAAAUCAGUCUCCCUCUCUCCCCUCUGCCUGUUUCGAUCGUGCGAUCUGCUUUCACCAGCAAAAAAAGAAAAACUGCCAAUGUGUAUGUCGUACUGAUUUUUUCCUGGUGUAAGUCACUUUUUUGGGUGAUCAGAUCUUCAUCCAACGGCCAAGAUCAUGAUGCCACUAUUCACUGAUUCCUCCUUGUCGGCCGCCAUCUCUCAGCCCAGCGCUAACAGCAGGCCUCCACCACCCGCACCGGUAGUNNNNNNNNNNNNNNNNNNNNNNNNNNNNNNNNNNNNNNNNNNNNNNNNNNNNNNNNNNNNNNNNNNNNNNNNNNNNNNNNNNNNNNNNNNNNNNNNNNNNNNNNNNNNNNNNNNNNNNNNNNNNNNNNNNNNNNNNNNNNNNNNNNNNNNNNNNNNNNNNNNNNNNNNNNNNNNNNNNNNNNNNNNNNNNNNNNNNNNNNNNNNNNNNNNNNNNNNNNNNNNNNNNNNNNNNNNNNNNNNNNAGUGCUUGCCACCGCCCUCAAGGCCAUCCCUCUAUGCCCCUCUCCCCAACCUCCUGUUUUGGCGUCGGCAGCCCCCGCACCUGUUAAUCUCCUUUUUCACUAUCGUUCUCAGUGUCGUCCCUGUCUUCGAUGAGGUCCCGGUUCGGCUUUAUCGUCAACAACGCAACUCGUGCUUCCUUCUUCCUUCGCAGUCAAAAUUGACUUACACAGAAAAAAUCCAGUCCAUGUACAUAUAAUUUGUUCACCACGAAGGAACCCUAGUAUGUUAUGAAGUUGAACUUCUAUAGGAUUUUGACACUAUUAUUAAUGAUGUUUAGCGAAUAAACUAGACUUAUCCACGUACUUUCAAAUACUCCCUCCGUCCAAAAAUACUUGGCACAUAAAUGGAUAAAAAUGGAUGUAUCUAAAACUAAAAUAUGUCUAAAUACAUUUAUUUUGCUGAUAAAUAUUUUCAGACGGAGGGAGUACCUUGGAACAACAACAACGCCAAGACGUCGAAAAUGAGCAAAAUCGGCGGAAUUGUGCAAGUGGCUAGACACGUCGCCGAGUAGGUGUAUGUCCGACUGGAUGUCGGACCACCACAGAGCUGUCACACUUUCUAUUUUGAUUUUUUUAAAGAUCAUAUCUAUUAUAAAAUUUCAUCAGAAGUACAAAGCAUCCCAAGCAUAAUAAAAAUUACAUGGAGAUUCCAAGUCCACCGAACGACCGGUAUUGCCGCCAGAAUGAGUCACCGACACGUCACUGUCGUCACUCCCCUACCGGAGCCGGCUUGACCUUGUCGAUGACAGUCGAAAAGUCUUCGUGCAUGUGCCCCUAAUGAAGGACCAGCACCCUGGAGUCGUAGUCGCCGCCGUGGAACCCUUGCAUAGAUUACAAGCACCCGACACCAAAUCUCACCACAUGACGAGAAAUCCUACCUCGCAACUCCAAGGACGGCAAGAAUCUACGACGGAGCUCCGUCGACCACCUCCAGACGGAUAAACUCGAGGAGGACUGGAGCCUAGAGGAAAAACUGAAAGAAGAAGUGACGCCAUCCAUCCAAGCGCUGCACCUGCAAGGACUAAAAACUCUAAGCUAAACUACUAACAGGAGCGAAGGCACCGAGAUUCUCCUCCCAGCCACCGACUGCCGAAGUGGUAGGCAGACGGGAGGCAAAUCAAUUUGCCAUAGCCGUCUAGGGUUAGGGGAGGAAAACCAGGAGAGAGUCUUCUGUUAUGAAUUUUAUGUUGAAUUAACACUAGUGGAAAAAGGCCAAUUUGUCCCGGUUCCAGAGGCCCAUUCGUCCCGGUUCUGGAUCCGAGACUAAAGGGUCGGGACUAAAGCCCAUGACCUUUAGUCCCGGUUUGCUCAUGAACCGGGACAUGUGGGGCUCCACGUGGCCGCUGCGGCUAGCCCCGGCAGGAGGGCCUUUGGUCCCGGUUGGUAACACCAACCGGGACCAAAAGGCAUCUACGCGNNNNNNNNNNNNNNNNNNNNNNNNNNNNNNNNNNNNNNNNNNNNNNNNNNNNNNNNNNNNNNNNNNNNNNNNNNNNNNNNNNNNNNNNNNNNNNNNNNNNNNNNNNNNNNNNNNNNNNNNNNNNNNNNNNNNNNNNNNNNNNNNNNNNNNNNNNNNNNNNNNNNNNNNNNNNNNNNNNNNNNNNNNNNNNNNGUUAAUUUAAUUAGGGGUUUCAUAUAUUGUGUUACUAGCUAAUAGAGAGAAGUGACCUCUCUUAUCUCCGUGCUUGGUCGACGCUACGUACUAUACGUAUAGAGGACUCGACACGCUAGCUAGUAAGAAAAUGAAGGAAAUCAUUAAGUACAUAAGAUCGUCAUGAACAUAUACAGAGAGAAGUGAUCGACCUCUCCUUCUCCGAGAGAUUGGUCGAACAACAAGUUUUCGUAUAUCUAUCCGACGCUACUAGCUACAUAUAUACAAUAUAAGAUCUGUUAUAAUCCUUAAUAUCUGAAGUCAAGUUCCACAUGGUAUCCUCCGGCUUUAUUGAUGACGUGGUCAAGAGAGAAUCCCGCCAAUUCCUCUUGAAUUGCUUUUAUGCGAUCAUGUGGUAGGAGCUCAUCCCGCAGCUGCCAGAUCUAAAUCGAAGAAGAGGGUCAAUACAUGUGUAUGAAUGAAACUCAACACAAAUGAUGGUAAUAAAAUACAAUUGUGAAUAUUUUUGCUUACGCACUUGAUAUUGUUUUUCAGAGUAGCCCCGCUUAUUCUUGGCCAUCUCGUUGUAAAUGAACUCGCAAAUGUAGUAUCCACAGAAAUCAUUUCCUUGUUCCUGCCACAAGCAUUUUACAAGAAAUAGAGGUCAAUGAAACUGAUAAGCAAGCAUGCUAAAUGGUAUUGAUGAAACUAGCUAGAAUCAAUGGGAGAUGCGCGGAACUAGGUAGCAGUACUUACUUUCGGGUGUUUAAAUGUCAGUUCGGUCGGCAGUCCUGGAGAAAUUGCGGUGAACUCUUUCCAAAACCUGUCAGACAAAGAAAAUAAUUACUUGAUAUCAGGAAAUGAACAAAGUUGCCGAUAUGGUGCGAUAAUGAUUGAUUGAACUUACUUCUGGAGUAUUCGAGUCAUGUCUGCAUAGUCCUCAAGAUCUUUUCGUCUCGAGUCUAAGACGGUUACUUCUCCCUUCUCAAGCUUAAUCACUAGGAGAAUAAAGUGGAAGCUACGCACGCAUGCACAACUCAUCAGUUACAUGACUAUAACCUCAAUUAAUAAUGAAAACAGAAUAUGCACAAGACAGUAACACUCACUUGAAGUUGUAAGGAAAGAAUAUUUUAUCUUUGGUUUGAUUUUUGAGCAACGAUUUUAGCAAGUGGUCCUUGGUUUCUGUGACAUUCUUUUGAACCAUCCAUUCAUGUAUGACAUUUGGGUUAAUGAACCCAAUGUCAUAGAUUUGUGCUUUUCUGCAUUCGAGGAUCUUCAAUCUGCAUAAUAUAGUGAGAAUAAUUAUAUAUACAUGCAAUGAAAGAGCUGAGAUGUAUAUAGAGAGACUUAAUUACAGAAAGUAGUACUUACAGACAGUAGCAAGCCAGAAGUGAUUUGUCGAGGGCCUUUUGAUUGUAGAACUGGAAAAACUCGUCAAAAUCAACAGUUAAUAGUUCUUGGCCAAUGAAGUCGUGGUCCUCUUUAAUUCUCAUCGACAAAGCAUCCUUCCCAGACUCGCUGCAGGUUUUCAUGUACCAAUUAUGGAGUCUUCGCAUCAUCAUUGUUACAGCAAGAGUUCCAUCUUUGACGAGAGGCUUCUCGUAAUGGUAUUUGAAUUCGUCCACCUCCAUUGUAUCAAAAUCUACAUCGUCGGGCAAGUAAUCACCAGGAUUGGUACCGGGCAGCAGCGGCUGAUUUGCGACGAUAUCGCUAGACACCUUGAGCGGGGGGAAUGAUUGGUUCUCCUGUUCUUUGAGCUGGGGAAUUUUUUUUCCCACUUCUUCGGUAUUUUAACCUUUUGUCAGUUGAAGUACUUCCCGACUGGCGUGCUUCUUGCAAUGUCUUUUUAAGACAGCGGAGAUGGUUGUUAUCCGGCGAACACGAUGGUGGUCGCUUCAUGGCAUUGAUAGUGCGCUUCGCUUUCACCAAAUCUAUCUUCUCCUCCGGAGGUGGAUGUUUCAUAGCUCUUCGUGUUUCAAAAAAGUCCUUCACUUGGGCUUGAACAAUCUUCGCGUUUUCCUCCACGGUCAUCUUGUAUGGUAACUUCUCUACAGGCUUGAGAGAUGGACCGAAUCUGUAUUGCCUCCCGCCUCUGGCUGUACUGCUAGACGCCGGAGUGGCAGCGGCUCUCUUCCGUUGCUGCCGACGAGUAGUAGAAGGAGGCAGAGUGGUCCGGCGCGCCGGAGCAGCCGGAGCGGCGGCGUUUGUGUUCUGCCGUUGCCGACGAGGCAGAGGAGGAGGCAGGCUGCUCGGACGCGCCAAAGCAGGCGGAGAAGGAGGCGGAGUGCCGCCCUCACACGCCGGAGAAGGAGGCAGAGUGCGCUGAUCACUCGCCGGAGGAGGAGGAGGCGGAGGCGGAGGCGGAGGCGUGAAGUUCCGAAGCUUGAUGUGCUCCUUCCUCCAUAGACAUGGAGUCUUCAGAGCAAGACCCAGUGAUACGUCCAUUUUGCAUCAUGUUUUCCUAUUGUUAUUUAUGUUGUUUUAUUGUAUAAUAAUGCUUUUUUGAGUAAUUCUAAUGCCUUUUCUCUCAUAAUAUGCAUGGUAUGUACCAAGGGGGAGAAUUCUGGCUGCUGGAAAUCUGGACCUGAAAAAGCUACGUCAAGCUACCUAUUCUGCACAACUCCAAAUGAGCUGAAACUCCCCGAGGAUUUUUAUGGAAUAUUUAAGGAAUAUUGGAGCAAAUAAGUACCACAGGAGGGCCACCAGGUGGGCACAACCCACCUGGGCGCGCCAGGAGGCCCAGGCGCGCCCUGGUGGGUGUUGCGCUCCUCGGCCCACCUCCGGUGUCCAUCUUAUGGUAUAUAAGUCAUUUUGACCUAGAAAAAACAGGGGAGUACAUUCGAGACGAAGCGCUGCCGCCUCGAGGCGGAACUUGGGCAGGAGCACUUUUAUCCUCCGGCGGAACGAUUCCGCCGGGGGAACUUCUCUCCCGGAGGGGGAAAUCAUCGUCAUCAUCAUCACCAACAACUCUCCCAUCUUGGGGAGGGCUAUCUUCAUCAACAUUUUCACAACACCAACUCCUCUCAAACCCUAGUUCAUCUCUCGCGUUCAAUCUUUGUAUCAAAACUAUAGAUUGGUGCCCGUGACUAGUAGUGUUGAUUACAUCUUAUAGUUGAUUACUAUAUGGUUUAUUUGGUGGAAGAUUAUAUGUUCAGAUCCAUUAUGCUAUUCAAUACCCCUCUGAUCUUGAGCAUGUUUAUCAUUUGUGAGUAGUUACUUUUGUUCUUGAGGUCACGGGAGAAAUCAUGUAGUAAGUAAUCAUGUGAACUUGAUAUGUGUUCGGUAUUUUGAUGGUAUGUAUGUUGCCAUUCUCUUAGUGGUGUCAUGUGAACGUCGAAUACAUGACACUUCACCAUAUUUGGGCCUAAGGGAAUGCAUUGUGGAGUAGUUAUUAGAUGGUGGGUUGCGAGAGUGACAUAAGCUUAAACUCCAGUUUAUGCGUGAUGUCUACUACACAACCUUCUUCUUGUAGACGUUGUUGGGUCUCAAAGUGCAGAGGUUUGUAGAACAGUAGAAAAUUUCCCUCAAGUGGAUGACCUAAGGUUUAUCAAUCCAUGGGAGGCAUAGGAUGAAGAUGGUCUCUCUCAAACAACCCUGCAACCAAAUAACAAAGAGUCUCUUGGGUCCCCAACACACCCUGCAAUGGUAAAUUGUAUAGGUGCACUAGUUCAGCGAAGAGAUGGUGAUACAAGUGCACUAUGGAUGGUAGAUAUAGGUUUUUGUAAUCUGAAAUUAUAAAAACAGCAAGGUAGCAAGUAAUAAAAGUGAGCGGAAUCGGUAUUGCAAUGCUAGGAAACAAGGCCUAGGGUUUAUACUUUCACUAGUGCAAGUUCUCUCAACAAUAAUAACAUAAUUAGAUCAUAUAACAAUCCCUCAACAUGCAACAAAGAGUCACUCCAAAGUCACUAAUAGCGGAGAACAAACGAAGAGAUUAUUGCAGGGUACAAAACCACCUCAAAGAUAUUCUUUCUGAUCAAUUCAUUGGGCUCUUCCUAUAAGUGUCACAAACAACCCUAGAGUUUGUAGUAAAAUAACACCUUAAGACACACAUCAACCAAAACCCUAAUGUCACCUAGAUACUCCAAUGUCACCUCAAGUAUCCAUGGGUAUGAUUAUACGAUAUGCAUCACACAAUCUCAGAUUCAUCUAUUCAAACCAACACAAAGUACUUCAAAGAGUGCCCCAAAGUUUCUACCGGAGAGUCAAGACGAAAACAUGUGCCAACCCCUAUGAAUAGAUUCCCAAGGUCACGGAACCCGCAACUUGAUCACCAAAACAUACAUCAAGUGGAUCAAUAGAAUACCCCAUUGUCACCACGGGUAUCACAUGCAAGACAUACAUCAAGUGUUCUCAAAUCCUUAAAGACUCAAUCCAAUAAGAUAACUUCAAAGGGAAAACUCAAUCCAUUACAAGAAGAUAGAGGGGGAGAAACAUCAUAUGAUCCAACUAUAAUAGCAAAGCUCGCGAUACAUCAAGAUCGUGUCGACUCAAGAACACGAGAGAGAGAGAGAGUGAGAGAGAGAGAGAGAGAGAGAGAACACAUAGCUACUGGUACAUACCCUCAGCCCCGAGGGUGAACUACUCCCUCCUCGUCAUGGAGAGCGCCGGGAUGAUGAAGAUGGCCACCGGUGAUGGACCCCCCCUCCGGCAGGGUGCCGGAACAUGGCCCCGAUUGGUUUUUGGUGGCUACAGAGGCUUGUGGCGGCAGAACUCCCGAUCUAGAUUAUUUUCUGGGGGUUUUGUAUUUAUAGGAGAGGUUGGCGUCGAGAACAAAUUAGGAGGACCCACGGGGAGUCCACGAGGCACAGGGGCGUGCACUCCACCCUUGUGGGCCCCACGGGACUCCCCUUUGAUAAAUUUUUUCCAGUAUUUUUUUUAUUUUCCAGAAAAAAUCUCCGUUGAUUUUUAGCGCAUUCCGAGAACUUUUAUUUCCGCACAAAAACAACACCACGGUAGUUCUGCUGAAAACAACGUCAGUCCGGGUUAGUUCUAACCAAAUCAUACCAAAAUCAUGUAAAAGUAUUAUAAACAUGGCAUGAAUACAUCAAAAUUAUAAAUACGUUGGAGACAUAUCAGCAUCCCAAGCUUAAUUCCUACUUGUCCUCGAGUAGGUAAAUGAUAAAAACAGAAUUUUUGAUGUGGAAUGCUACCUAACAUAUUUAUCAAUCUAAUCUUCUUUAUUGUGGCAAGAAUAUUUAGAUCCAUAAGGUUCAAAACAAAAGUUUAAUAUUGACAUAAAAAUAAUAAUACUUCAAGCAUACUAACAAAGUAAUUAUGCCUUCUCAAAAUAACAUGGCCAAAGAAAGCUUAUCCCUACAAAAUCAUAUAGUUUGGCUAUGCUCCAUCUUCAUCAUACAAAAUAUUCAAAUCAUGCACAACCCCGGUUUAAGCCAAGCAAUUGUUUCAUACUUUAGUAUUCUCAAACUUUUUCAACUUUCGUGCAAUACAUGAGCGUGAGCCAUGGACAUAACACUAUAGGCGGAAUAGAAUGGUGGUUGUGGAUAAGACAAAAAGAGGAGAUAGUCUCACAUCAACUAGGCGUAUCAAUGGGCUAUGGAGAUGCCCAUCAAUAGAUAUCAAUGUGAGUGAGUAGGGAUUGCCAUGCAACGGAUGCACUAGAGCUAUAAGUGUAUGAAAGCUCAAAAAGAAACUAAGUGGUUGUGCAUCCAACUUGCUUGCUCAUGAAGACCUAGGGCAUUUGAGGAAGCCCAUCGUUGGAAUAUACAAGCCAAGUUCUAUAAUGAAAAAUUCCCACUAGUAUAUGAAAGUGAAGAAAUAGGAGACUCUCUAUCAUGAAGAUCAUGGUGCUAAUUUGAAGCACAAGUGUGGUCAAAGGAUAGUAGCAUUGCCCCUUCUCUCUUUUUCUCUCAUUUUUUUGAUUGGCUUCUUUGUCCUCUCUUUUUUUGAUUGGCUUAUUUGGCCUUUUUUUAUUUCCUCACAUGGGACAAUGCUCUAAUAAUGAUGAUCAUCACACUUUUAUUUACUUACAACUCGAUAUUUAGAAAAAAAUAUGACUCUAUAUGAAUGCCUCCGACGGUGUACUGGGAUGUGCAAUGAAUCAAGAGUGACAUGUAUGAAAGAAGCAUGAAAGGUGGCUUUGCCACAAAUACGAUGUCAACUACAUGAUCAUGCAAAGCAAUAUGACAAUGAUGAAGCGUGUCAUAAUAAACGGAACGGUGGAAAGUUGCAUGGCAAUAUAUCUCGGAAUGGCUAUGCAAAUGCCAUAAUAGGUAGGUAUGGUGGCUGUUUUGAGGAAGGUAAAUGAUGGGUGUAUGGUACCGGCGAAAGUUGCGCGGCACAAGAGAGGCUAGCAAUGGUGGAAGGGUGAGAGUGCGUAUAAUCCAUGGACUCAACAUUCGUCAUAGAGAACUCACAUACUUAUUGCAAAAAUCUACAAGUCAUCAAAACCAAGCACUACACACAUGCUCCAAGGGGAAGGGUUGGUUGGAGUUAACCAUCGCGCGAUCCCGACCUCCACACAUAAGGAGGACAAUCAAAGAGAUACCUUAUGCUUCAAAUUUGUUACACAAUGGUUACCAUACGUGCAUGCUAUGGGACUCACAAUCCUCAACACAAGUAUUUCUCAAAUUCACAAUUACACCACUAGCAAGACUCUAAUAUCACCAUCUUCAUAUCUCAAAACAAUCAUAAAGAAUCAAACUUCUCAAAGUAUUCAAUGCACUUUAUAUGAAAUUUUUUCUUAUAUCCCUCUUGGAUGCCCAUCAUAUUAGGACUAAAAUCAUAACCAAAGCAAAUUACCAUGCUGUUUAAGACUCUAAAAAUAAUAUAAGUGAAGCAUAAGAGUUCAUCUAUUUCUUCAAAAUAAAACCACCAUCGUGCUCUAAAAGAUAUAAGUGAAGCACUAGAGCAAACGACAAACCACUCCAAAAGAUAUAAGUGAAGAUCAAUGAGUAGUCGAAUAAUUAUGCAACUAUGUGAAGACUCUCUAACAUUUAAUAAUUUCAGAUCUUGGGAUAUUAUUCAAACAGCAAGCAAAAAAAAUGACGCUCCAAGCAAAACACAUAUCAUGUGGUGAAUAAAAAUAUAGCCUCAAGUAAACUUACCGAUGAACGAAGACGCAAGAGGGGAUGCCAUCCGGGGCAUCCCAAAGCUUAGGCUCUUGGUUGUCCUUGAAUAUUACCUUGGGGUGCCUUGGGCAUCCCCAAGCUUAGGCUCUUGCCACUCCUUAUUCCAUAGUCCAUCGAAUCUUUACCCAAAACUUGAAAACUUCACAACACAAAACUCAACAGAAAACUCGUAAGCUCCGUUAGUAUAAGAAAAUAAAUCACCACUUUUGGUACUAUUGUGAACUCAUUAUAAAUUUAUAUUGGUGUAAUAUCUACUGUAUUGUAACUUCUCUAUGGUUCAUACCCUCCGAUACUACUCAUAGAUUCAUCAAAAUAAGCAAACAACACAUAGAAAACAGAAUCUGUCAAAAACAGAACAAUCUGUAGUAAUCUGUAACUCUCGAAUACUUCUGUAACUCCAAAAAAUCUGAAAUAAAUUGGUGGACGUGAGGAAUUUGUCUAUUAAUCUUGUUCCAAAAUAAUCAACUUAAAACAUCUCUUCUGUUAAAAAUGAAAAUAUUCUCGUUAGUGCAAAGUUUCUGUUUCUUACAGCAAGAUCGCAUUAACUUUCACCCAAGUCUUCCCAAAGGUUCUACUUGGCACUUUAUUGAAACAAAAGCUAUAAAACAUGAUUACUACAGUAGCUUAAUCAUGUGGACACACAAAAACAGUAGGGGUAAAUAUUGGGUUGUCUCCCAACAAGCUCUUUGCUUUAAUGCCUUUUUAAGCUAGGCAUGAUGAUUUCAAUGAUGCUCACAUAAAAGAUAAGAAUUGAAACAUAAAAAGAGCAUCAUGAAGAAUAUGACUAAAACAUUUAAGCCUAACCCACUUCCUAUGCAUAGGGAUUUUGUGAGAAAACAACUUAUGGGAACAAGAAUCAACUAGCAUAGGAAAGCAAAACAAGCAUAACUUCAAGAUUUUCAACACAUAGAGAGGAAACUUGAUAUUAUUGCAAUUCCUACAAGCAUAUAUUCCUCCCUCAUAAUAAUUUUCAGUAGCAUCAUGAAUGAAUUCAACACUAUAACUAUCACAUAAAGAACUAUUUUCAUGAUGUACAAGCAUAGAAAUUGUAUUACUCUCCACAUAAGCAAAUUUAUUCUCAUAAAUAGUAGUGCAAGCAAACUCAACGGAAUAACUAUCAUGUGAUACUUUAUUCACAUAAUCAAUUUGAGCAUUAGAAUCAUGAUGACAAGUUUCAUGGAUAUCAUUACUCUUUAUAGCAUAAAUGUCAUCACAAUAAUCAUCAUAGAUAGGAGGCAUGCUAUCAUCAUAAUAUAUUUUCUCAUCAAAACAUGGGGGACUAAAAAUAUCAUAUUUCUUAAACAUAGCAUCCCCAAGCUUGUGGCUUUGCAUAUCAUUAGCAUCAUGGAUAUUCAAGGAAUUCAUACUAACAACAUUGCAAUCAUGCUCAUCAUUCAAAUAUUUAGUGCCAAACAAUUUAGUGCAUUCUUCUUCUAACACUUUGGCACAAUUAUCAGAAUCCUUAUUUUCACGAAAGACAUUAAAGAGAUUAAGCAUAUGAGGAAACCUCAAUUCCAUUUUUUUAUAGUUUUCUUUUAUAGACUAAACUAGUGAUAAAAUAAGAAACAAAAAGAUUCAAUUGCAAGAUCUAAAGAUAUACCUUCAAGCACUCACCUCCCCGGCAACGGCGCCAGAAAAGAGCUUGAUGUCUACUAUACAACCUUCUUCUUGUAGACGUUAUUGGGCCUCCAAGUGUAGAGGUUUGUAGGACAGUAGAAAAUUUCCCUCAAGUGGAUGACCUAAGAUUUAUCAAUCCGUGGGAGGCGUAGGAUGAAGAUGGUCUCUCUCAAACAACCCUGCAACCAAAUUACAAAGAGUCUCUUGUGUCCCCAACACACCCAAUACAAUGGUAAAUUGUAUAGGUGCACUAGUUCAGCGAAGAGAUGGUGAUACAAGUGCAAUAUGGAUGGUAGAUAUAGGUUGUUGUAAUCUGAAAUUAUAAAAACAGCAAGGUAGCAAGUAAUAAAAGUGAGCGGAAACGGUAUUGCAAUGCUAGGAAACAAGGCCUAGGGUUCAUACUUUCACUAGUGCAAGUUCUCUCAACAAUAAUAACAUAAUUAGAUCAUAUAACAACCCCUCAACAUGCAACAGAGUCACUCGAAAGUCACUAAUAGCGGAGAACAAAUGAAGAGAUUAUUGUAGGGUACAAAACCACCUCAAAUUAUUCUUUCCGGUCAAUCCAUUGGGCUAUUCCUGUAAGUGUCACAAACAGCCCUAGAGUUCAUAGUAAAAUAACACCUUAAUACACACAUCAACCAAAACCCUUAUGUCACCUAGAUACUCCAAUGUCACCUCAAGUAUUCAUGGGUAUGAUUAUACGAUAUGCAUCACACAAUCUCAGAUUCAUCUAUUCAAACCAACACAAAGUACUUCAAAGAGUGCCCCAAAGUUUCUACCGGAGAGUUAAGAUGAAAACGUGUGCCAACCCCUAUGCAUAGAUUCCCAAUGUCACGGAACCCGCAAGUUGAUCACCAAAACAUACAUCAAGUGGAUCAAUAGAAUACCCCAUUGUCACCACGGGUAUCCCACGCAAGACAUACAUCAAGUGUUCUUAAAUCCUUAAAGACUCAAUCCAAUAAGAUAACUUCAAAGGGAAAACUCAAUCCAUUACAAGAAGAUAGAAGGGGAGAAACAUCAUAUGAUCCAACUAUAAUAGCAAAGCUCGUGAUACAUAAAGAUCGUGCAGACUCAAGAACACGAGAGAGAGAGAGAGAGAGAGAGAGAGAGAGAGAUCAAACACAUAGCUACUGGUACAUACCCUCAGCCCCGAGGGUGAACUACUCCCUCCUCAUUGUGGAGAGCGUCGGGAUGAUGAAGAUGGCCACCGAUGGUGGAUCCCCCCUCCGGCAGGGUGCUGGAACAGGGUCCCGAUUGGUUUUUGGUGGCUACAAAGGCUUGCGGUGGCGGAACUCCCGAUCUAGGUUAUUUUCUAGGGGUUUCUGUAUUUAUAGAAGAGGUUGGUGUCGAGAAAAAGUUAGGAGGACCCACGGGGAGUCCACAAGGCAUAGGGGCACGCCCCAGGGGUUGGGCGUGCCCUCCACCCUCGUGGCCCCCACGGGACUCCCCUCUGAUAACUUUUUGUUCCAUUAUUUUUUAUAUUUUAUAGAAAAAAUCUCCAUUGAUAUUCAGCACAUUCCGAGAACUUUUAUUUCUGCACAAAAACAACACCAUGGUAGUUCUGCAGAAAACAGAUUCAGUCCGGGUUAGUUCUAACCAAAUCAUACCAAAAGCUUGUAAAAAUAUUAUAAACAUGGCAUGAAUACAUAAAAAAUUAUAGAUACGUUGGAGACGUAUCAAUGUGCUAUUCCGUAAGGGACUGAUUGGAUCCAAAAGUUGAAUGCUAUGGUUAGAAUUUAUUCUUAAUACUUUUCUCGUAGUUGCGGAUGCUUGCGAGUGGGUUAAUCAUAAGUAGGAGGUAUGUUCAAGUAAGAACAACACCUAAGCACCAGUCCACCCACAUAUCAAAUUAUCAAAGUACCGAACACGAAUUAAGUCAACAUGAUGAAAGUGGCUAGAUGAAAUUCUCGUGUACCCUCAAGAACACUUUGCUUAUCAUAAGAAACCGCUUUGGCCUGUCCUUUGCCUCAAAAGGAUUGGGCUAGCUUGCUGCACUUUUGUUACUACUAUUGUUACUUGCUCGUUACCAAAUAUCUUGCUACCAAACUACUCCACUAUUUACGAUUUUAGCACUUGUAGACAUUACCUUGCUGAAAACCACUUGUCAUUUCCUUCUGAUCCUCGUUGGGUUCGACACUCUUACUUAUCAAAAAGGGCUACAAUUGACCCCAUACACUUGUGGGUCAUCAAGGCAAUUUUCUGGCGCCGUUGCCAGGGAGUGAAGCGCUCUUGGUAAGUGGAAAUUGGUAAGGAAAAAAUUAUUACUACGUGCUGAAAUUUAUUGUCACUUGCUACUAUGGAAAACAAUUGUUUGAGGGGUUUGUUCGGGGUAUCUUGACCUCGACCAGAACCACAAUUAGUCACCCCUCAACCUACUACACCUACUAAAAAUAUUGAAUAUGAAAUUCCUUUAGGUAUGUUAGAAUAACUGCUAGCUAAUCCUUAUGCAGGAGAUGGAACCGAACAUCCUAAUAUGCACUUGAUAUAUGUGGAUGAAAUUUGUGGAUUAUUUAAGCUUGCAGGUUUGCUAGGAGAUGAAGCUAAGAAGAAGGUUUUCCCUUUAUCUUUGAAGGGAAAAGCAUUGACAUGGUAUAGGCUAUGCGAUGAUAUUGUAUCUUGGAAUUGGAACCGUUUGAAACUGGAAUUUCAUCAGAAAUUUUAUCCUAUGCAUCUAGUUCAUCGUGAUCAGAAUUAUAUAUAUAAUUUUUGGCCUCGUGAAGGAUAAAGUAUCGCUCUAGCUUGGUGGAGGCUUAAGUCAAUGUUAUAUUCAUGCCCCAAUCAUGAGCUCUCGAGAGAAAUUAUUAUUCAGAAUUUUUAUGCUUGGCUUUCUCGUAAUGAUCAAUCCAUACUCGAUACUUCUUGUACUGGUUCUUUUAUGAAGAAGACUAUUGAAUUCUGGUGGGAUAUUUUAGAAAGAAUUAAAUGCAACUCUGAAGAUUGGGAACUCGAUGAAGGUAAAGAGUCAAGUAUUGAACCUAAGUUUGAUUGUGUUAAAUCCUUUAUGAAUACCAAUGCCUUUCGAAAGUUUAGCACUAAAUAUGGACUUGACUCUGAGAUAGUAGCUUCCUUUUUUGAAUCUUUUGCUACUCAUGUUGAUCUCCCUAAGGAGAAGUGGUUUAAAUAUCACCCACCAAUUAAAGAAGAAAUUAAAGAACCGGUAAAAGCUAAAGAAGAAACUAUCAUUUACAAUGUUGAUCCAGUUGUUCCCACUGCUUAUAUUGAAAAACCACCUUUUCCUGUUAGGAUGAAGGAACAUGCUAAAGCUUCAACUGUGGUUAACAAAAGUUAUGUUAGAGCACCCAAACCAUCUGAACAAAUCAAAGUUGAACCUAGUGUUGCUAUGAUUAAAGAUCUCUUAGUUGAUAAUAUUGAUGGGCAUGUUAUUUAUUUCUGUGAUGAAGCUUCUAGAAUGGCCAAACCUGAAGGAAAAGAUAAACAUAGACCAGUUGUGGGCAUGCAUGUUGUCUCAGUUAAGAUAGGAGAUCACUGUUAUCAUGGGUUAUGUGACCUAGGUGCUAGUGUAAGUGCUAUUCCUUUCUCACUAUAUCAAGAAAUUAAAGAUGAAAUAGCACCUACUGAGAUAGAAGAUAUAGAUGUUACUAUUAAACUUGCUAAUAGAGAUACUAUAUCACCAAUUGGGAUCCUUAGAGAUGUUGAAGUCUUGUGUGGGAACAUAAAAUACCCUACUGAUUUUCUUGUUCUUAGCACCCCACAAGAUGAAUUUUGUCCCAUUAUAUUUGGUAGACCUUUCUUGAACACCGUCAAUGCUAAAAUAGACUGUAAGAAACAAACUGUCGGUGUUAGCUUUGGUGAUGAAUCUCAUGAGUUUAAUUUUUUCAAGUUUAGUAAACAACCUCAUAAGAAAGAUUUGCCUAGUAAGGAUGAAGUUAUUGGUCUUGCUUCUAUUCUUGUGCCUCCUACUGAUCCUUUGGAAAAAAUAUAUGCUAGACGAUGAAAAUGAUUUGCAUAUGCGUGAAAGAAAUGAAGUAGAUAGAAUCUUUUUCCAACAACAACCUCUGCUUAAACACAAUUUGCCUAUUAAAACUCUAGGAGGUCCUCAUCCACCUAAAGGUGAUCCUGUGUUUGAACUAAAACAAUUACCAGACACUUUGAAAUAUGCUUAUCUUGAUGAAAAGAAGAUAUAUCCUGUUAUUAUCAGUGCUAACCUUUCAGAACAUGAAGAGGAAAGAUUAUUGGAAGUUCUAAGGAAGCACAGGGCUGCUAUUGGAUAUACUCUUGAUGAUCUUAAGGGCAUUAGUCCCACUCUAUGUCAGCACAAGAUUAAUGUAGAACCUAAUGCUAAAUCCGUUGUUGAUCACCAACGUCGGUUAAAUCCGAAAAUGAAAGAAGUGGUAAGAACGGAAAUAUUAAAACUUCUGGAAGCAGGUAUAAUCUAUCAUAUAGCUGAUAGUAGAUGGGUAAAUCUUGUUCAUUGUGUCCCUAAGAAGGGAGGUAUUACUGUUGUUCCUAAUGAUAAGAAUAAGCUUAUUCCGCAAAGAAUUGUCACAGGCUAUAGAAUGGUAAUUGAUUAUAGAAAAUUAAAUAAAGCUACUAGAAAAGAUCAUUACCCUCUGCCUUUUAUUGAUCAAAUGUUGGAAAGAUUAUCUAAGCACACACAUUUUUGCUUCGUUGAUGGAUACUCCGUCUUUUCAAAAUACCUGUUUUACAAUCUGAUCAAGAAAAGACCACUUUUACUUGUCCUUUUGGAACAUUUGCUUAUAGACUAUGCCUUUCGGUUUAUGUAAUGCACCUGCUACCUUUCAAAGAUGUAUGACUGCUAUCUUCUCUGAUUUUUUUGAAAAGAUUGUUGAAGUUUUUAUGGAUGACUUUUCUGCCUAUGGGAAGUCUUUUGAUGAUUGUUUAAGCAAUCUUGAUCGAGUUUUGCAGAGAUGUGAACAAACAAAUCUUGUCUUGAAUUGGGAGAAGUGCCACUUUAUGGUUAAUGGGUAUUGUCUUGGGCCACAAAAUUUCUGAAAGAGGCAUUGAGGUGGAUAAAGCCAAGGUUGAUGCAAUUGAGAAAAUGCCAUGUCCUAAAGAUAUCAAAGGCAUUCUCAGUUUCCUUGGUCAUGCUGGUUUCUAUAGAAGGUUUAUCAAAGACUUUUCUAAAAUUUCUAGGCCUCUUACUAAUCUUUUGCAAAAGGAUAUUCCUUUUGUGUUUGAUGAUGAUUGCAUGGAAGACUUUGAAACACUAAAGAAAGCCUUAAUCACAGCACCUAUUGUUCAACCACCUGACUGAAACUUGCCUUUUGAGAUUCUGUGUGAUGCUAGUGAUUAUUCUGUUAGUGUUGUUCUAGGACAAAGAGUUGACAAGAAACUAAAUGUUAUUCAUUAUGCUAGUAAAACUCUAGACAGUGCUCAACGAAACUAUGCUACUACUGAAAAGGAACUCUUGGCAGUGGUGUUUGCUUGUGAUAAAUUCAGAUCUUACAUUUUUGAUUCUAAAGUAAUAGUUCACACCGAUCAUGCUGCUAUAAAAUAUCUUAUGGAAAAGAAAGAUGUUAAACCUAGACUCAUUAGUGGGUUCUUCUGCUACAAGAAUUUGAUUUGCAGAUCACUGAUAGAAAAGGAGCAGAGAACCCCGUAUCUGAUAACUUGUCUAGACUUGACACUACAAAAAAAAGACACAAACGUGACAUUUUGGGCCGAACGAAAUUUUUUCUGUCAUACUUAUGACACUUCUACGAUGAUAAUUGUGACAAAACCCGGUAUCAUCGUACAUGUGGUGGGCUCCUACUUCUAUGACAAAAAAUCAUGACUGAAAAUGCGCUUUUCGUCCUGGGCGGGUGCUACCUCUUGAGCACUGUGUUGGUUUUCCCUUGAAGAGGAAAGGGUGAUGCAGCAAAGAAGCGCAAAUAUUUCCCUCAGUUUUUGAGAACCAAGGUAUCAAUCCAGUAGGAGGCUGCACGCAAGUCCCUCGUACCUACACAAACAAACAAGAACCUCGCAACCAACGCGAUAAAGGGGUUGUCAAUCCCUUCACGACCACUUGCCGAAGUGAGAUCUGAUAGAGAUAAUAAGAUAAGAUAAAUAUUUUUGGUAUUUUUAUGAUAUAGAUUGAAAAGUAAAUAUUGCAAAAUAAAGUAGAUCGGAAACUGAUAUGAUGAGAAAUAGACCCGGGGGCCAUAGGUUUCACUAGUGGCUUCUCUCAAGAUAGCAUAAGUAUUACGGUGGGUGAACAAGUUACUGUCGAGCAAUUGAUAGAAAAGUGCAUAGUUAUGAGAAUAUCUAGGCAUGAUCAUGUAUAUAGGCAUCACGUCCGUGACAAGUAGAUCGAAACGAUUCUGCAUCUACUACUGUUACUCCACACAUCGACCGCUGUCUAGCAUGCAUCUAGAGUAUUAAGUUCAUAAGAACAGAGUAACGCAUUAGGCAAGAUGACAUGAUGUAGAGGGAUAAACUCAAGCAAUAUGAUAUAAACCCCAUCUUUUUAUCCUCGAUGGCAACAAUACAAUACGUGCCUUGUUGCCCCUGCUGUCACUGGGAAAGGACACCACAAGAUUGAACCCAAAGCUAAGCACUUCUCCCAUUGCAAGAAAGAUCAAUCAAGUAGGAGAAACCAAAUUGAUAAUUCGAAGAGACUUGCAAAGAUAACCAAUCAUACAUAAAAGAAUUCAGAGGAGAUUCAAAUAUUUCUCAUAGAUAGACUUGAUCAUAAACCCACAAUUCAUCAGAUCUCGACAAACACACCACAAAAAGAGCUACAUCGAAUAGAUCUCCAAGAAAAUCAAGGAGAACAUUGUAUUGAGAUUCAAAGAGAGAGAAGAAGUCAUCUAGCUAAUAACUAUGGACCCGAAGGUCUGUGGUAAACUACUCACAACUCAUCGGAGAGGCCUUGAUGUUGAUGUAGAAGCCCUCCGUGAUCGAUGCCCCCUCCGGCGGAGCGUCGGAAAAGGUUCCAAGAUGGGAUCUCACGGGUACAGAAGGUUGCGCCAGUGGAAAUAGGGUUUCGUGGUGCUCCAGGAUGUUUUUGGGGUACGUAGAUAUAUAUAGGCGAAGGAAGUCAGUCAGGGGAGCCACGAGGGGCCCACGAGGGUGGGGGGCGUGCCCACCCCUCUAGGGCACGCACUGGACCCUCGUGGACGCCUUAGCUGUUUCUUGACGUCCACUCCAAGUCUCCUAGAUUGCGUUUGUUCCAAAAAGAUCGCUCCAGAAGGUUUCAUUCCAUUUGGACUCCGUUUGAUAUUCCUUUUCCUCGAAACACUGAAAUAGAAAAAAAAACAAUUUGGGCUGGGCCGCUGGUUAAUAGGUUAGUCCCAAAAAUGAUAUAAAAGUGUAUAGUAAAGCCCAUAAACAUCUAAAACGGGUAAUAUAAUAGAAUGGAACAAUAAAAAAUUAUAGAUACGUUGGAGACGUAUUAAGCAUCCCCAGGCUUAAUUCCUGCUCGUCCUCGAGUAGGUAAAUGAUAAAAACAGAAUUUUUGAUGUGGAAUGCUACCUAGCAUAUUUCUCAAUGUAAUUUUCUUUAUUGUGGCAUGAAUGUUCAGAUCCAAAUGAUUCAAGAUGCAAGUUUAUAUUGACAUAAAAAUAGUAAUACUUCAAGCAUACUAACAAAGCAAUCAUGUCUUCUCAAAAUAACAUGGCCAAAGAAAGUUAUCCCUACAAAAUCAUAUAGUCUGGCUAUGCUCUAUCUUCAUCACACAAAAUAUUUAAAUCAUGCACAACCCCGAUGACAAGCCAAGCAAUUGUUUCAUACUUUUUUGUUCUCAAACUUUUUAAACUUUCAUGCAAUACAUGAGCGUGAGCCAUGGACAUGGCACUAUAAGUGGAAUAGAAUGGUGGUUGCGGAGAAGACAGAAAAAGGAGAAGAUAGUCUCAGACCAACUAGGCAUAUGAACGGGCUAUGGAGAUGCCCAUUAAUAUAUAUCAAUGUGAGUGAGUAGGGAUUGCCAUGCAACGGAUGCACUAGAGUUAUAAGUGUUUGAAAGCUCAACAAAAGAAACUAAGUGGGUGUGCAUAAAACUUUCUUGCUCACGAAGACAUAGGGAAAUUUGAGGAAGCCUAUGAUACAUCUCCAGCGUAUCUAUAAUUUUUUAUUGUUCCAUGCUAUUAUAUUACCCGUUUUGGAUGUUUAUGGGUUUUCCUUUACACAUUUAUAUCAUUUCUGGGACUAACCUACUAACCGGAGGCCCAGCCCGUAUUGCUAUUUUUUUGCCUAUUUUAGUAUUUCAAAGAAAAUGAAUAUCAAACGGAGUCCAAACAGAAUGAAACCUUCGAGAGCGUGAUUUUUGGAACAAACAUGAUCCAGAGGACUUGGAGUGCAAGCCAAAAAGCAGCCGAGGCGGCCACGAGGGUGGAGGGCGCGCCCACCCCUAUAGGGCGCACCCCCUAUCUCGUGGGCCCCUCGGGCUUCCUACGACGUACUUCUUCCUCCUAUAUAUACCUACGUACCCUGAAAACAUCCACGGAGCCAAUGAAACAAAAGUUCCACCGCCGUAACCUUCUGUAUCCGCGAGAUCCCAUCUUGGAGCCUUCGUCGGUGCUCCGUAGGAGGGGGAAUAGACCAUGGAGGGCUUCUACAUCAACGCCAUAGCCCCUCCGAUGAGUUGUGAGUAGUUUACCACAGACCUUCGGGUCCAUAGUUAUUAGCUAGAUGGCUUCUUCUCUCUUUUGGAUCUCAAUACCAUGUUCUCCCCCUCUCUUGUGGAGAUCUAUUUGAUGUAACUCUUUUUGCGGUGUGUCUGUCGAGAUCCGAUGAAUUGUGGGUUUAUGAUCAAGUUUAUCUAUGAGAAAUAUUUGAAUCUUCUCUGAAUUCUUUUAUGUAUGAUUGAGUUAUCUUUGCAAGUCUCUUCAAAUUAUCAGUUUGGUUUGGCCUACUAGAUUGAUCUUUCUUGCAAUAGAAGUGCUUAGCUUUGGGUUCAAUCUUGCGGUGUCCUUUCCCAGUGACAUUAGGGGAAACAAGGCACGUAUUGUAUUGUUGCCAUCGAGGAUAAAAAGAUGGGGUUUAUAUCAUAUUGCAUGAGUUUAUCCCUCUACAUCAUGUCAUCUUUCUUAAUGCGUUACUCUGUUCUUAUGAACUUAAUACUCUAGAUGCAUGCUGGAUAGCGGUCGAUGUGUGGAGUAAUAGUAGUAGAUGCAGGUAGGAGUCGGUCUACUUGUCGCGGACGUGAUGCCUAUAUACAUGAUCAUGCCUAGAUAAUCUCAUAAUUAUUCGCUUUUCUAUCAAUUGCUCGACAGUAAUUUGUUCACCCACCGUAAUACUUAUGCUAUCUUGAGAGAAGCCACUAGUGAAACCUAUGGCCCCCGGGUCUAUCUUUUAUCAUAAAAGCUUUCAAUCUACUUUUAUUUGCAUCUUUACUUUUCCAAUCUAUAUUAUAAAAUACCAAAAAUAUAUUUAUCCUAUCAUAAUAUCUCUAUCAGAUCUCACUUUCGCAAGUGGCCGUGAAGGGAUUGACAACCCCUUUAUUGCGUUGGUUGCGAGUUCUUUGUUUGUUUGUGUAGGUGCGUGGGACUUUUGAGGAGCCGCCUACUAGAUUGAUACCUUGGUUCUCAAAAACUGAGGGAAAUACUUACGCUACUAUUGCUGCAUCACCCUUUCCUCUUCAAGGAAAACCAACGCAAGCUCAAGAUGUAGCAAGAAGGAUUUCUAGCGCCGUUGCCGGGAGAGUCUUCGCUCAAGUCAAGACAUACCAAGUACCCAUCACAAACUCAUCUCACUCGCAUUUACAUUAUUUGCCAUUUGCCUCUCGUUUUCCUCUCCCCACUUCACCCUUGCCGGUUUAUUCGCCCCUCUUCCGUUCGAUCUUGUGACACCAUGUACCUUCUUUUUGCUUGCAGCUUUGCUUGCUAAAAGUUUAUGGAUCCUCAUCCACUUGCUAAUCUCUUUAAAAGAUCCAAUUAUGUUGAACCUAUUGCUAGUGAGUUAAGUGCACUAGAUUAUCUUUUUGAGGUUUUGCUUGAAAUUUGUGAAUCUGAAAAUUGUGAUGAAGUACUUUAUGAAGCAAUUCAUGAUAGAUCUUUGAAUAAAAAGCAUGAUUGCAAUGAUUUUAUUAUAAAUUCUAUUGAUGUCAAUUGUGCUAAUAAUAUGCAAAACCCUAAGCUUGGGGAUGCUAUUUUUCUAUGUCUACUACUUGUUGCAAUAAUCAUGAUUGGGGUGAUUCUUCUUAUGAUCUUGAAAAUUUAUUUAAGCCCCAUGAUGAAUAUGAGAUUGAUAAUAGUGUUUGCAAUAUUAUUGAAAGUGGGUUUGGAAGAGUGUCAACUUUAGAUCCCACAUAUUUGGAGUAUGUUCAAUCUUAUGAUAUUUUUGAUAAAAGUGGGUUUGGAGAGGUCAUGACUUUAGUUAAUGUUGAUCCCACUAUCUUGGAAGAGUGUCAACUUUGCAUGCAUGUGGAUCUUGUUAAAAAUAUGUUUUGUGAUAGCUAUAUUGUUGAAUUUUCUUAUGAUCCUACAUGUAAUUAUUAUGAGAGAGGAAACUAUGGUUGUAGAAAUUUUCAUGUUACUAAAUUAUCUCUCGUUAUGUUGAGAUUGCUAUUGUUUCUUUCCGCUUCCUUGCAUAUGCUAGUUUUUGCUUGCCUUGAUAAUUUGUUUGCCUAUAAGAUGCCUAUGCAUAGGAAUUAUGUUAGACUUAGAUGUGUUUGUCAUGUGUUUUAUGAUGCUCUCUUUAUGCUUCAAUUCUUGUCUUUCAUGUGAGCAUCAUUGAAAUCUCAAUGCCUAGCUCAGGGUGUUAAACGAUAACGCUAGUUGGGAGGCAACCCAAUUUUAUUUUUGCUUUUGUUUUUGUUUUUGCUUCUGUUUAGUAAUAAAUUUUGCAUCUUCCUUCUGUUUAGAUGUGUUUUCAUGUUUUAAUUAGUGUUUGUGCCAAGUAGAACCUAUAGGAUAACCUAUGAUGAUAGUUAAUUUGAUUCUGCUGAAAAACAGAAACUUUGCGCUCAUGAGAAAAAAUUCAAUAAAUCACAGAAACGUGCUUUCUCAUUGAUUCCUUUUUCUGUAGAUCAAUAGACAAAUUUUCCAGGACUUCCUAUUUUGGUAGGAUUUUUAGAGUUCCAGAAGUUUGCGUUAGUUACAGAUUUCUACAGAUUGUUCUGUUUUUGACAGGUUCUGCCUUUCGUGUGUUGUUUGCUUAUUUUGAUGCAUCUAUGGCUAGUAUUAAGUGGUAUGAACCAUAAAGAACUUGUAAUACAGUACGUUUACACCAAUAUAAAUAAAGAAUGAGUUCAUUACAGUACUUUAUGUGGUGGUUUUGCUUUCUUUCACUAACGGAGCUUAUGAGAUUUCCUGUUGAGUUUUGUGUUGUGAAGUUUUCAAGUUUUGGGUAAAGAUUUGAUGGACUAUGGAAUAAGGAGUGGCAAAAGCCUAAGCUUGGGGAUGCCCAUGGCACCCCAAGAUAUUCAAGAAUAGCCAAAAUCCUAAGCUUGGGGAUGCCCCCGGAAGGCAUCCCCUCUUUCGUCUUCGUUCAUUGGUAAGUUUACUUGGAGCUAUAUUUUUAUUCGCCACAUGAUAUGUGUUUUGUCUUGGAGCGUCAUGUAUGAUAUUAGUAUUUGAUUUUUAGUUUACCACAAUCAUCCUUGCUGUACACACCUUUUGGGAGAAGCCCACUUGAUUGAAAUUUAUUAGAAUACUCUAUGUGCUUCACUUAUAUCUUUUGAGCUAGAUAGUUUUUGCUCUAGUGCUUCACUUAUAUCUUUUAGAGCACGGCGGUGGCUUAAUUUUGUAGAAAUUUCUAGUCUCUCAUGCUUCACUUAUAUUAUUUUGAGAGUCUCUUAGAACAACAUGGUAUUUGCUAUGGUUAUAAAAUUGGUCCUAGAAUGGUAGGCAUCCAAGUUGGGUAUAAUAAAAACUAUCAUAGGAAGUGAAUUAGAUGCUAUGAUCAAUUUGAUACUUGAUAAUUGUUUUGAGAUAUGGAGGUGGUGAUAUUAAAGUCAUGCUAGUUGGGUGAUUAUGAAUUUAAAGAGUACAUGUGCUGAAGUUAGCAAGUCUCGUAGCAUGCACGUAUGGUUAAAGUUGUGUAACAAAUUUGAAACAUGAAGUGUCCUUGGAUUGUGCAUCCUUAUGAGUGGCGGUCGGGGACGAGCGAUGGUCUUUUCCUACCAAUCUAUCCCUCUAGGAGCAUGCGCGUAGUGCUUGGUUUUUGAUGACUUCUAAGUUUUUGCAAUAAGUAUAUGAGUUCUUUUGACUAAUGUUGAGUCCAUGGAUUAUACGCACUUUUACCUUUCCAUCAUUGCUAGCCUCUUCGGUACCGUGCAUUGCCCUUUCUCACCUUGAGAGUUAGUGCAAACUUCGUCGGUACAUCCAAACCCCGUGAUAUGAUACGCUCUAUCACACAUAAACAUCCUUAUAUCUUCCUCAAAAUAACCACCAUACCUACCUAUUAUGGCAUUUCCAUAGCCAUUCCGAGAUAUAUUGCCAUGCAACUUUCCACCGUUCUGUUUAUCAUCAUGACACGCAUUACUUUUGUCAUAUUGCCAUUGCAUGAUCAUGUAGUUGACAUCGUAUUUGUGGCAAGGCCACUUUGCAUAAUUUUUCAUACAUGUCACUCUUGAUUCAUUGCCCAUCCCGGUACACCGCUGGAGGCAUUCAUAUAGAGUCAUACCUUGUUCUAGUUUCGAGUUGUAAUUCAUGAGUUGUAACUCAAUACAAGUAUGAUGAUCAUCAUUAUUUGAGCAUUAUCCCCAGAAAAAAAGGCCAAAAGAAAAAAAAAGAAAGGCCAAAGAAAAAAAGAAAAAAAUAAAAAAAGGGAAAGGCCAAAAAGAAAAAGAAAAAGAAAGGCCCAAAAAAAGAAAAUAAAUAAAAAGGGGGCAAUGUUACUAUCUCUUUUUCCAUACUUGUGCUUCAAAGUAGCACCAUGUUCUUCAUAUAGAGAGUCUCAUAUGUUGUCACUUUCAUAUACUAGUGGGAAUUUUUCAUUAUAGAACUUGGCUUGUAUAUUCCUAUGAUGGGCUUCCUCAAAAUGCCCUAGGUCUUCAUGAGCAAGCAAGUUGGAUGCACACCCACUAGUUUUUCUUUUGUUGAGCUUUCAUACAUUUGUAGCUCUAGUGCAUCCGUUGCAUGGCAAUCCCUACUCCUCAUGUUGACAUCAAUUGAUGGGCAUCUCCAUAGCCCGUUAAUUAUCCUCGUCAAUGUGAGACUUUCUCCUUUUUUGUCUUCUCCACACAAUCCCCAUUAUCAUAUUCUAUUCCACCCAUAGUGCUAUAUCCAUGGCUCAUGCUCAUGUAUUGCGUGAAAGCUGAAAAAGUUUGAGAUUAUUGAAGUACUCCCUCUGUUCCUUGAUAUAAGGUGUAUAGGUUUUUGAGAAAAAAAACCAAAAUAUAAGGUGUAUUGUGUUGCACCACUCGUUUGGAUAAACUUUUUAGGGAUUUGAUUACAUUUCCUUAUAUCAAGCAACCUCCUCUAUUUUCUCAUGUCAAUUAGUCAGGUGCAAUCUUGCCCAAAACAUGUGAAAAUUUCCCUUCAUGUGCGUUCUUUAAUUUCCAUGCCAAAAACUAUACACCCUAUAUUUAGGAACCGAGUGAGUAUGAAAAAAUUGCUUGGCUUGUCAUCGGGGGUGUAGAAUUUGGGAACAUUUUUGUGUGACGGAAAUGAAGCAUAACCUAACUAUAUGAUUUUGUAGGGAUGAACUUUCUUAAGCCAUGUUAUUUUGAGAAGACAUAAUUGCUUUUAUUAGUAUGCUUGAAGUAUUACUAUUUCUUAUGUCAAUAUGAACUUUUAUUUUGAAUUAUUUGGAUCUGAACAUUCAUGCCACAAUAAAGAAAAUUACAUUGAGAAUUAUCCUAGGUAGAGUUCCACAUAAAAAAUUCUGUUUUUAUCAUUUAGCUACUCGAGGACGAGCGGGAAUUAAGCUUGGGGAUGCUUGAUAUGUCUCCAAUGUAUCUAUAAUUUUUUAUUGUUCCAUGCUAUUAUAUUACCCGUUUUGGAUGUUUAUGGGCUUUACUUUACACAUUUAUAUCAUUUUUGGGACUAACCUACUAACCGGAGGCCCAACCCGUAUUGUUGUUUUUUUUGCCUAUUUCAGUAUUUCGAAGAAAAGGAAUAUCAAACGGAGUCCAAACGGAAUGAAACCUUUGCGAGCGUGAUUUUUGGAACGAACAUGAUCCAGAGGACUUGGAGUGCAAGCCAAGAAGCAGCCAAGGCGGCCACGAGGGUGGAGGGCACGCCCACCCCUAUAGGGCGCGCCCCCUGUCUCGUGGGCCCCUCGGGCUUCCACCGACGUACUUCUUCCUCCUAUAUAUACCUGCUACCUCUUGAGCACUGUGUUGGUUUCCCCCGAAGAGGAGAGGAUGAUGCAGUAAAGUAGCGUAAGUAUUUCCCUCAGUUUUUGAGAACCAAGGUAUCAAUCCAGUAGGAGGCUACAGGAAAGUCCCUCGUACCUACACAAACAAACAAGAACCUCGCAACCAACGUGAUAAAGGGGUUAUCAAUCCCUUCACGUCCACUUGCGAAAGUGAGAUCUAAUAGAGAUAAUAAGAUAAGAUAAAUAUUUUUGGUAUUUUUAUGAUAUAGAUUGAAAAGUAAAUAUUGCAAAAUAAAGUAGACCGAAAACUUAUAUGAUGAGAAAUAGACCCGAGGGCCAUAGGUUUCACUAGUGGCUUCUCUCAAGAUAGCAUAAGUAUUACGGUGGGUGAACAAGCUACUAUCGAGCAAUUGAUAGAAAAGCGAAUAAUUAUGAGAAUAUCUAGGCAUGAUCAUGUAUAUAGGCAUCACGUCCGCGACAAGUAGAUCGAAGCGAUUCUGCAUCUACUACUAUUAAUCCACACAUCGACCGCUAUCCAGCAUGCAUCUAGAGUAUUAAGUUCAUAAGAACAGAGUAACGCAUUAGGCAAGAUGACAUGAUGUAGAGGGAUAAACUCAAGCAAUAUGAUAUAAACCCCAUCUUUUUAUCCUCGAUGGCAACAAUACAAUACGUACCUUGCUACCCCUGCUGUCACUGGGAAAGGACACCGCAAGAUUGAACCCAAAGCUAAGCAGUUCUCCCAUUGCAAGAAAGAUCGAUCUAGUAGGCCAAACCAAACUGAUAAUUCAAAGAGACUUGUAAAGAUGACCAAUCAUACAUAAAAGAAUUCAGAGGAGAUUCAAAUAUUUCUCACAGAUAAACUUCAUCAUAAACCCACAAUUCAUCGGAUCUCGACAAACACACCACAAAAAGAGUUACAUUGAAUAGGUCUCCAGGAAAAUCAAGGAGAGCAUUGUAUUGAGAUUCAAACAGAGAGAAGAAGUCAUCUAGCUAAUAACUAUGGACCCGAAGGUCCGUGGUAAACUACUCACAACUCAUCGGAGAGGCCUUGGUGUUGAUGUAGAAGUCCUCCGUGAUCGAUGCCCCCUCCGGCGGAGCGUUGGAAAAGGCUCCAAGAUGGGAUCUCACGGCUACAGAAGGUUGCGGCGGUGGAAAUAGGGUUUCGUGGUGCUCCUGGAUGUUUUUGGGGUACGUAGAUAUAUAUAGGCGAAGGAAGUCGGUCAGGGGAGCCACGAGGGGCCCACGAGGGUGGGGGCGUGCCCACCCCCUAGGGCGCGCCCUGGACCCUCGUGGCCGCCUCAGCUGCUUCUUGACGUCCACUCCAAGUCUCCUGGAUUGCGUUUACUCCAAAAAGAUCGCUCCUGAAGGUUUCAUUCCGUUUGGACUCCGUUUGAUAUUGCUUUUCUUCGAAACACUGAAAUAGGGAAAAACAACAAUUUGGGUUGGGCCUACGGUUAAUAGGUUAGUCCCAAAAAUGAUAUAAAAAUGUAUAGUAAAGCCCAUUAACAUCCAAAACGGGUAAUAUAAUAGCAUGGAACAAUAAAAACUUAUAGAUACGUUGGAGCCAUAUCAAGCAUCCCCAAGCUUAAUUCUUGCUCGUCCUCGAGUAGGUAAAUGAUAAAAACAGAAUUUUUGAUGUGGAAUGCUACCUAGCAUAUUUCUCAAUGUAAUUUUCUUUAUAUUGGCAUGAAUGUUCAAAUACAAAUGAUUCAAGAUGAAAGUUUAUAUUGACAUAAAAAUAGUAAUACUUCAAGCAUACUAACAAAGCAAUCGUGUCUUCUCAAAAUAACAUGGCCAAAGAAAGUUAUCCCUACAAAAUCAUAUAGUCUGGCUAUGCUCUAUCUUCAUCACACAAAAUAUUUAAAUCAUGCACAACCCCGAUGACAACCAAGCAAUUGUUCCAUACUUUUAUGUUCUCGAACUUUUUCAACUUUCACGCAAUACAUGAGCGUGAGCCAUGGACAUGGCACUAUAAGUGGAAUAGAAUGGUGGUUGUGGAGAAGACAAAAAAGGAGAAGAUAGUCUCACAUCAACUAGGCGUAUCAACAGGCUAUGGAGAUGCGCAUUAAUAGAUAUCAAUGUGUGUGAGUAGGGAUUGACAUGCAACGGAUGCACUAGAGUUAUAAGUGUAUGAAAGCUCAACAAAAGAAAGUAAGUGGGUACACUUUGGUGUACACUAUGCUGGGUGCGCCUAGCAUUUUAGCAUUUAUUUUCGUAUUAAAAUUAAUUUCAGAUUAUUAAUAAAACUUUGAAAAUUAAUAGAAAUUAAACUGUACCUCGGAUGAAAAUGUUUUCUACAUGAAAGUUGCUCAGAAUUUCGAGACGAAUCCGGAUGCGCGGUCCGUUCGUCUGCCACACGUCUCUAGCAUAGUGAACCUGCAACCUUUUCCCUCCGGUUCAUUUGUCCGACAGACGUCGAGAACCGGGAAAACAUUCCCGGAUGUUUCCUCCCUUCGCCGGUAGCGUGUAGCACCGCGUUAGAACACGUCUAGCUCUGUCUGUUGUCCUGUUAUGCACUUGCAUGCUAUGUAUUUACUGUUUCUUCCCCCUCUUCUCUCCGGUAGACCUCGAGACCAUUGCUGAGGCCACUGUGAUCGAAUACGUCGACGACGACCCUCCUUCUUGUCUGAGCAACCAGGCAAGCCCCCCCCCUAUCAUCUCGAUAUCGCCCAUUCUAUACUCUCAUGCUUGCAUUAGAUUUUGCUACUGUUAUGUAUUGCUCCUAUUCUGAUGCAUAGCCUGCUUUUGUAACCUACUAUUGUACCUUACCUGCUUAUCCUAAACUGCUUAGUAUAGGUUGGUAAGUGAUCCAUCAGUGACCCCCACUUGUCCUUGUUGCCCCUGCUUCAUCUUCGAUGACUCGAUCAACAUGAUCGACGACCAGAGCCCGACACCUCACAUCACAUCACGCCCCUUUUGUUGCUCGACUCUGCAGAGCUACUAUCGAGUGCCAAGGGUGAUCCCUCAUAACGCACUCCUGGUAAUAAUUCUGUAGUGUAGCUAUUCGUCCGUGGUCAUCAAGGGUGAUUUCCUCUUUCACCAUUCCUGAUACGGCUCUGUCAUUCAACACCUCAAGUGUGAACCUCGAGGGUGGUCCCUCUUAUGUUCACCUUGAUGAUUACAUUGAGUGGAAUCCUCCGUGGGUGAUUCCUCGGGUUUUCCCCUUGAUGUUUGGACACAUAGUUACAAUGACUUUACUUGAGACCUUGGUGAAAGACGGGCGGGCCCGGAGAGCACCCGCAAGAUAAUGACGUGGCAUGGCCGGGCAUUCUGAGCCCUUGUCGUAAGUCCACGAGACGGGGCGACAGGGUCACUUUCGAUCGUGAGUCUCUUCUCAUCUCCGCAAGCUAAUAAUACACUAUGGUUUGGGUAUUUGUUCUGAGUUGGCCUCUGGCCUUUACGCACUAACCACCACGCGAUAAUAGAUAUGGGCCUCGACGUCGCAGUAUCAGCUGAAGCUUUGUCAGACGUCUAGUUCAGUAGUGCGGCACGGCUGGGCCGGCACCAUCCAUGUAGAAGUGGAGCCUGGACCCGCCCUGCACGCAACGACCCGGAGUGCAAGGGGCGAUGGGCCCAGACCCCGGAGUGCUUAGGAGGUAGACCGACGGGGACCUCUCUGCUGAGCCUAGGUAGGGCUGCGACGUGUUGAUCUUCCGAGGGCGGGCAUUGACCCCAGAAAGGUGUGUCCGGCCAGAGUGAUCGAGCGUGUUGGGUAACAUGGUGCACCCCUGCAGGGAAGUUAUAUAUUCGAAUACCGUGUCCACGGUACUGGACGUUCAGACUUAUAUCCUGAUCUUAUACAACUACAAAUGGAUACUUAAGAUAUGUGGCCCCGGGAUUGCUUUCUCGCAGGAGUCGAGGAAGGAUCUCUGGGCAUUAAUGUUACAACAUGUUUGUUAAAUAUUGAACUGUUAUUCUUUACUCUACAUGCCGCAAGAUGCUCGGAGCUGCGUGAAGAUGCUAGUCUUUGAUAGGCUAGGCCUUCCCCCUCUAUUCUGGCAUUCUGAAGUGCAGUCCAUAGAUACAACCCUUCCAUUUGAUACAAAUGCAUACUUAGUAUAGAUCUGAUGCUUGCGGGUACUUUGGAUGAGUACUCACGGUUGCUUUGCUACCCCUUUUACCCCUUCUUUCUUCUUUCCGGUUGAUGCAACCAAAUGGUGGAUCCUUGGAGCCAGAUGCCACCGCCGAUGGACGCUACUACAUGGAGGCCGUCGACGACCAAGAGUAGUUAGGAGGUCACAGGCAGGAGGCCUUGCCUCUUCGAUCGUUGUUGCUUUUGUGCUAGCCUUCUUAAGGCAUCCUUGUUUAACUUAUGUCUGAACUCAAAUAUUGUUGCUUCCGCUGACUCGCUUUUGUAUCGAGCUUAUGUAUUCGAGCCCUUGAGGCCCCUGGCUUGUAAUAUAAAGCUUGCAUUAUUUUGAUUUGUGUCUAGAGUUGUGUUGUGAUAUCUUCCCAUGAGUCCCUGAUCUUGAUCGUACACAUUUGCGUGUAUGAUUCAUGUACGAUUGAAUCGGGGGCGUCACAGGUGCCAUGGGCAUCCCCAAGCUUAGGCUCUUGUCAGUCCUUAUUCCAUAGUCCAUCAAAUCUUUACCCAGAACUUGAAAACUUCACAACACAAAACUCAACAGGAAAUCUGUAGGAUCGGAAGUAUGUCUAGAGGGGGGGGUGAUUAGACUACUUGACCAAAUAAAAACUUAUCCUUUUCCCUAUUUUAUUCUUUGGUAGAUUUUAGCUAACUUAGCACAAGUCAAGAAAUCUUAACACAAUUCAAGCAAGCAUGCAAAGAGUAUAUGAGCAGCGGAAUGUAAAGCAUGCAACUUGCAAGAAUGUAAACGGAAGGGUUUGGAGAAUUCAAACGCAAGUGGAGACACGGAUGUUUUUGUCGUGGUUCUGAUAGGUGGUGCUAUCUUACAUCCACGUUGAUGAAGACUUCAACCCAUGAAGGGUAACGGCUGCGCGAGUCCACGGAGGGCUCCACCCAAGAAGGGUCCACGAAGAAGCAACCUUGUCUAUCCCACCAUGGCCGCCGCCAAUGAAGGACUUGCCUCACUAGCGGUAGAUCUUCACGAAGUAGGCGAUCUCUUUGCCCUUACAAACUCCUUGGUUCAACUCCAUAAUCUUGUCGGAGGCUCCGAAGUGACACCUAGCCAAUCUAGGAGACACCACUCUCCAAGAAGUAACCAAUGGUGUGUUGAUGAUGAACUCCUUGCUCUUGUGCUUCAAAUGAUAGUCUCCCCAAAACUCAACUCUCUCUCACAGGAUUUGGAUUUGGUGGAAAGAAGAUUUGAGUGGAAAGCAACUUGGGGAAGGCUAGAGAUCAAGAUUCAUAGGGUAGGAAUGGAAUAUCUUGGUCUCAACACAUGAGUAGGUGGUUCUCUCUCAGAAAAUGUAAGUUGGAAGUGUAGGUUCGUUCUGAUGGCUCUCUCCACGAAUGAAGAGGAGGUGGAGGGGUAUAUAUAGCCUCCACACAAAAUCUAACCAUUACACACAACUUGCCAAUCUCGGUGGGACCGAAUUGAGAAACUCGGUCGGACCGAUUCAACAAAUCUAGUGACCGUUAGGAUUUUUGGUGGGACCGACAUGCAACUCGGUAGGACCGAUAUGGUUAGGGUUAGGGCAUAACGUAAUCUCGGUGAGACCGAUUACACAAACUCGGUAAGACCAAUUUUGGUAAUAAGCUAACCAAAGAGUUGGUCAGGUAAACUCGAUGGGACCGAUUCGCUCAUUCCGGUGAGACCGAAAUGUUACGAAAGGGAAACAGAGAGUUUACAUUGCAAUCUCGGUGGGAUCGAUCGCUCAUCUCGGUGGUACCGAAACGUUACGAAGGGAAACAAAGAGAUUACAAUCCCAUCUCGGUGAGACCGAGAUCCCUAUCGGUGAGACCGAUUUGCCUAGGGUUUGUGGCAGUGGCUAUGACAUCUGAACUCGGUGGCGCCGGAUAGAAAGAAUCGGCAGGGCCAAGUUUGACUUUUGGUUUAGGUCAUAUGUGGAUGUGAGAAGGUAGUUGAGGGCUUUGGAGCAUAUCACUAAGCAUUUUGAAGCAAGAACCUCAUUAAGCAACACCCCAUCCCUCCUUGGUAGUAUUGGCUUUUCCUAUAGACUCAAUGUGAUCUUGGAUCACUAAAAUAUAAAAUGUAGAGUCUUGAGCUUUGCGCUUGAGCCAAUCCUUUUGUCCUUAGCAUUUUGAGGGGUCCACUUUUCUCAUCCAUGCCAUGCCAUUCAUUGAGCUUUCCUGAAAUAUUUAUCUUGGAAUAGCAUUAGCUCAAUGAGCUAUAUGUUGUUAGGAAUUACCAAAACCACCUAGGGAUAGUUGCACUUUCAAUCUCCCCCUUUUUGGUAAUUGAUGACAACAUAUAGAUCAAAGCUUCGACAAAUGAUAAUAAGAUUGAAAAUCGACAAAUGAUAAUAAGAUUGAAAAACAUUGUCGCUUUGAGAAGUAUGUGAAAUGUAAGAGCUCCCCCUAAAUUUGUGCAUAGUUUAAGAUUUGCUUUGGACUGCAAAUGCACAAUGAGUUAGGAUCAUGAGUUACUCUCCCAUGUCACAUACAUCUUGGUGAAGCACUCAAAAUGAUAAUAAUUAAAUACAUGCACUCAUCACCAAGCAAAGUGAAUGAUCAUAUAGAGAUAAAAGGAUAAUGUCAUCCAACAAGCAUUAAUGUAGCAUAGCAUAUGAUCAAACACAUGAUCAUCCAAGUAUCACACAUGCAUAAAUUAUAUCAAACAAGCAAACAAAGUUCAACCACCAAAACAAGAGAGAAUAAAAAGCAACACUCUCUCUCGAAGCCUAUGAUCUAUACAUUUUUCUCCCCCUUUGGCAACAAGUUAGCAAAAAGUUUAUAGAAAAUGCAUAGUACUAAAUCGACUCUCAGGCUUGGUCUUCAGCUGGUGGUGUAGAAAUAACGCCAAGGACGAAAGCAUCAGUUGAUGAAGAUGGAGCUGGUGGAGUAGGUGCUGGAGCUAGUGGCACUGAAGUUGUAGCUGGUGCAGAUGAAGUUGCUCUGGUGUCUGGAACAGCCACUACAGCAGAUCUCUAUGCUCUGGGCACUCUAGCAAACGCAUCAGCGGUAGUCUUGCCCUUCCUCUCCUGCAUGUCAUCCUGAAGUUGCUCAACAACUGACUGUGUCUUAGUGACUUUCACAUCCAAGUCAUAGAACUUCUGCUCCAUGAUCCUCUCCAGGCUCUCCUGGUUUUGAGUCAGAGUGGCCAAUCCCUUCUCAAUCCUCAGAGUGGAGGCAAUCAAGUAGCCAAGCUGAUCUUACUUGCUCUUCAGGAAAUACUGAGAUGCCUCAUCAAUGGUUGGCAUCUUUGUAGCCUUUUCAGUCCUUGCCUUCUCCUUCUUCGCUUGUGCUUGCACAAAAGAUGGUUCAUUUUCAUCCAUAACCACUGUGUUGUCCUCAAAAUAUGGGUAGAUGGGCAUGUGUUCCUUGUCCAAGAGGUAUGUGCCUGUGCCCAUCUUGGAGUUGAUGAGCUCCUAGAUCUGUGGGGCAUACCCGCAACUUCUCUUUUGGUCAGCAACAGUCCUCUUGAUAGUCUCAAUAAUUAAGCUCAUGACCUUGAACUUCUGAGGCACAUCAAAUAUGUGAAGAAGGUUGAUAGCAUGGCCUCUGGUCAUCUUGUGAUCACCUGACUUAGGCAAAAGAGUGUGCCUGAGGAUCCACUUGAUUGUUGGCAAUCCUGAUAGAAGGUAAUGUACUGAUCCAAACUUGUGUGUUUCAAUAGCAGCAUCUGGGAUCUCUCUGUACAUAUGUGCCAUGGAGUUGUGAUCCUUCUUCUUCUUAGCAUAGACAUCCAAGUCAUCCUCUUCCUCCUUAGGUGCAUUGAUCAGAUUUGCCCAUUCUUCAACUGUUGAUUGAUACCUAGUACCUUCAGACAUCCACACAAUCUUUCCAUCUGGAUAGAAGUGAGAUGUGGAGUAGAACUGCAUUAUAAGCUCAUCAUUCCACUUUGUGAGUGAGGGAGUCCUGGACUAGGGGUGUCCGGAUAGCCGAACUAUCAUCAUCGGCCGGACUCCAAGACUAUGAAGAUACAAGAUUGAAGACUUCGUCCCGUGUCCGGAUGGGACUUUCCUUGGCGUCGAAGGCAAGCUUGGCGAUACGGAUAUGUAGAUCUCCUACCAUUGUAACCGACUCUAUGUAACCCUAGCCCUCUCCGGUGUCUAUAUAAACCGGAUGGUUUUAGUCCGUAGGACAUAACAACAAUCAUACCAUAGGCUAGCUUCUAGGGUUUAGCAUCCUUGAUCUCGUGGUAGAUCUACUCUUGUAAUACCCACAUCAUCAAUAUCAAUCAAGCAGGACGUAGGGUUUUACCUCCAUCAAGAGGGCCCGAACCUGGGUAAAACAUCGUGUCCCUUGUCUCCUGUUACCAUCCGCCUAGACGAACAGUUUGGGACCCCCUACCCGAGAUCCGCCGGUUUUGACACCGACAUUGGUGCUUUCAUUGAGAGUUCCUCUGUGUCGUCACCGAUAGGCUCGAUGGCUCCUUCGAUCAUCAACAACGACGCGGUCCAGGGUGAGACUUUUCUCCCCGGACAGAUCUUCGUAUUCGGCGGCUUUGCACUGCGUGCCAAUUGGUUUGGCCAUCUGGAGCAGAUCGAAAGCUACGCCCCUUGCCGUCAGGUCAGAUUUGGAAGUAUGAACUUCACGGCUGACAUCCGCGGAGACUUGAUCUUCAAUGGAUUCGAGCCACAGCCGAGCGCGCCGCACUGUCACGAUGGGCAUGAUUUAGCUCUGUUGCGGGACAGUGCCCUGGAGGCCACACACGAGUCCGCUCCGACCCUCGAUUCGGAGCCGGCUGUGCAGAUCGAGGACGGGUGGUUAGACACCGCCUCGGGGGCUGCAACCUCUACGGUGAUAGAGCCGAAUACUGACUUUGUCCCUUCUGAAGCUCGUGACUCCAAGGUGCCGGACUCCUUGCCGGACUCCGAACCUCCCGCGCCCCCUCCAAUCGAAUCCGAUUGGGCGCCGAUCAUGGAGUUCACCGCGGCGGACAUCUUUCAGCACUCACCUUUCGGCGACAUCCUGAGUUCGCUAAAGUAUCUCUCGUUAUCAGGAGAGCCCUGGCCGGACUGCGGUCAGGACGGUUGGGAUGCGAACGACGAAGAAAUUCAAGACCCACCCACCACCCACUUAGUAGCCACUGUCGACGACUUAACCGUCAUGCUAGACUUCGACUCCGAAGACAUCGACGGUAUGGACGACGAUGCCGGAGACGACUAAGUACCAGCGCCUACUGGGCACUGGAAAGCCACCUCGUCAUACGACAUAUACAUGGUGGAUAUCCCAAAGAAUGGGAAUGGCGAAGGAACAGCGGAGGAAGACCCCUCCAAGAAACAGCCCAAGCGUCGGCGUCAGCGGCGCCGCUCUAAAUCCCGCCACAGCAAGAAUGGCGAUUCCGGCACCGGAGAUAAUAAUACCCCAGACAGUGCCGAAGACAACCCCCUCCAGCAAGAUUCAGCGCAGGAGGACGGAGAUGCCAGCCCUCAUGAGAGAGCGGCAAACGAAGAGGUAGAGGAUGAUAAUUACAUGCCUCCCUCCGGAGACGAGGCAAGCCUCGACGACGACGAAUUUGUCGUGCCUGAGGAUCCCGUCGAACAAGAGCGUUUUAAAUGCAGGCUUAUGGCCAUGGCAAACAGCCUCAAGAAAAAAUAGCAACAGCUUAGAGCUGAGCAGGAUCUGCUAGCCGACAGAUGGACUGAAGUCCUUGCGUCCAAAGAGCAUGAGCUCGAACGCCCCUCCAAAAGCUACCCCAAACGCAAGUUGCUCGCCCGAUUAGAGGAGGAGGCAUAUAAACCUGCAUCACCAGAGCACAAUGCGGCUGACCGUCCACCUCGUGGCCGCGACAGAGAGGCCUCUAGGCCCUCCACUAGAACCGUACCCCGGCAUCGCUCGAAAAGCACAAGGCCACAGGGGAACGCUCCGGACUUGCCAGAUAUAUUGGAGGAUAAGGCAAGACAAUCAAGAUCGAUCUACGGAUCGCGUGGGCGCCCCAUGAUACGCGACGACAAUCGUCGCGCCGGACACAGGAAGUCCGGCCGGGCCGAGCACAGUAGACAAAGCUCGUUGGAGCUCCGUCGCGAUAUAGCCCAAUACAGAGGCGCCGCACACCCACUAUGCUUCACAGAUGAAGUAAUGGAUCAUCAAAUCCCCGAAGGGUUUAAACCCGUGAAUAUUGAAUCCUAUGAUGGCACAACAGACCCCACGGUUUCGAUCGAAGACUAUCUCCUUCAUAUCCACAUGGCCCGCGGUGACGGUCUUCACGCCAUCAAAUACCUCCCACUCAAGCUUAAAGGACCAGCUCGGCAUUGGCUUAACAGCUUGCCAGCAGAAUCAAUUGGAUGUUGGGAGGACCUGGAAGCCGCAUUCCUUGAUAACUUCCAGGGCACGUAUGUGCGACCACCAGACGCUGACGACCUAAGCCACAUAAUUCAGCAGCCAGACGAAUCGGCCAGACAAUUCUGGACACGGUUCUUAACUAAGAAAAAUCAAAUCAUCGACUGUCCGGAUGCGGAGGCCCUCGCGGCCUUCAAACAUAACAUCCGUGACGAGUGGCUUGCCCGGCACCUGGGACAGGAAAAGCCAAAAUCCAUGGCAGCCCUCACAUCACUCAUGACCCGCUUCUGCGCGGGAGAGGAUAGCUAGCUAGCCCGCAGCAACAACCUCAGCAAAAAUUCUGGCAGUCCGGAUACAAAGGACCGCAAUGGCAGGUCGCGUCGCAACAAGAACAAACGCCGCAUUAACAGCGACAAUAAUGAGGACACGGCAGUCAAUGCCGAAUUCAGAGGCUCCAAACCCGAUCAGCGGAAAAAGCCAUUCAAAAGAACUACUACGGGUCCGUCCAAUUUGGACCUAAUACUCGAUCGCUCGUGCCAGAUACACGGCACCCCCGAAAAGCCAGCCAACCACGCCAACAGGGACUGUUGGGUAUUCAAGCAGGCAGGCAAGCUAAUUACCGAAAACAAUGGCAAGGGGUGCAUAGCGAUGACGAAGAAGAGACCCGACCACCAAACAAUAGAGGAUAGAAGGGUUUCCCCCCACAAGUGCGGACGGUGAAUAUGAUAUACGCAACCCACAUACCCAAGAGGGAGCGGAAGCGUGCACUCAGGGACGUAUACGCGAUGGAGCCAGUCGCCCCGAAGUUCAACCCAUGGUCCUCCUGCCCGAUCACUUUUGAUCGAAGGGACCACCCCACCAGCAUCCGCCACGGCGGAUUCGCCGCAUUGGUUUUAGACCCAAUCGUCGAUGGAUUUCACCUCACCAGAGUCCUGAUGGACGGCGGCAGCAGCCUAAACCUGCUUUAUCAGGACACAGUGCGCAAGAUGGGCAUAGACCCCUCAAGGAUUAAACCCACAAAGACGACCUUCAAAGGCGUCAUACCAGGUGUAGAGGCCAAUUGUACGGGCUCAGUUACACUGGAAGUGGUCUUCGGAUCCCCGGAUAACUUCCGAAGCGAGGAGUUAAUCUUUGACAUAGUUCCGUUCCGCAGCGGCUAUCAUGCUCUGCUCGGACGGACCGCGUUUCCAAAGUUCAACGCGGUGCCGCACUACACAUACCUCAAGCUCAAGAUGCCAGGCCCUCGAGGAGUCAUCACGGUCAACGGAAACACCGAACGCUCCUUCCGAACGGAGGAACAUACAGCGGCUCUCGCGGCAAAAGUACAAUGCAGCCUCUUAAGGUAAUUCUCGAGUCCGGCCGUUAAGCGACCGGACACGGCUAAACGCGCCCGGAGUAACCUACAACAAGACUACCUGGCACGCUCCGAGCACGCGUGGCAAUGCGGCCCCAACCCCAGCCCUCGCAAGAUCGCAAGACUGGUUCUUCGCGUACAUCAUUACGCUCUGGAGAUACCAUGGGCAUAGGGGAAGGGGCACGAGCACGACAGGCCCAGAAUGCGGCUUAACCACAUCAAGGGCUCCCAAGUGUGUCAUUCCUUUUUUUCUUUUUCUUUCUUACCCACAGGACUCCGUUCACCAGAGGCCCUGUCCGGCAGUAGACCGGCCGAACUCACGAUCCAACAGCCAGGGAAGGAGAAAGGCUACGACGAAUAUCCAGGUGGUCUCCAUUACGAGCACUAAAUCUAUUUUAUACACCAUUCCGCAGCCUACCCCUAGAGGGGGACAUGUUUAAUAGUCCCAUCCCUUGCUCAUCGCACUAUUUGUAUCGUUCUGCAUUCAUGGCAGUAUUUCUUGAAUAAACAAUGCAGCACCUUUUUGCUUAUAAUUGCAUUCCUUUCUUAUACAUAUGUUCAUUUAUGACAUGUCGCAUCCGUACAUUUUGGUACGGCUAAAUACACCAGGGGCUUAAGUUCCCCACAUUAUGGUGUGAUAAGUCCGAACACUUUUACAAGUACGACACCCCGAACUUAUAGCAUUAUAUGCAUCGGCUCCGAAUCAUGUCAUGGGUCAAUAGUUGGGUUUGCCCGGCUCCCAUGUUUUGGUACCUUACGUUCCGUUCUAUCGGCUAAGGUAGCACUGGGAGAACCACUGCGAUUGCGCCCCAGUUGAGCUGGGCGAGCGCCUCAGUGGAGAAAGCUAAAACUGACCGUCAUGAUGAGGCGAGAGCCGGUCGCUGUUCGAGAGGUUUUUUCGAGUCCCUAAAGACUUAUGCCGCUUAGAGCGAGGAACCGGCUUUGUCCGGCCCAGGCGUGGAUAGCGCCCCGAAUUCGGCCUUCCGAACACUAGGGGCUUCGCCAAAAUUUAAAAUUAUAGAAUUCUAUGGCUAAGUGAGAGUGUUCAAGCAUUAUAAGUCUGGUUGCCUAGUUCGUUGUGUUGAGCGCCUCCCUAGAUGGACCCAUAUAUGGGAACAAGAGUGCUCAAAUUUAUCCCGAACACCCCAGCACUCGUGGCAUGGGGGCUGAAGCCGACGACUUGCCAUCUCUCAAAUUUGAUAAACAGCCGCACAGAAGGUAAUAUUUUAAAUCAACAAGCGUUGCUUAGCGCAUAUGAACAAACUUUUCAGCGCGCAGGAUAACAAAAUGCGAGUCUACUCAAAUAUUACAUUAUUGGAGCACUCACCCGCAAUAGUGCAGGCACCCUUCAGGACACUCUUGUAAUACAUCUCGGGCGUGCAAUACUCCUUGCCUGGCGGUGGCGCGUCUGUCACAAGCUUCUCAGCAUCCAUCUUGCCCCAGUGCACCUUAGCACGGGCAAGGGCCCGACGGGCACCAUCAAUACAGGUGGAUCGCUUGAUGACCUCAACCCAUGGACAAACAUCCACCAGCCGCCGCACCAGGCCGAAGUAGCUCCCAAGCAUGGCCUCAUUGGGCCACAGCCGAACUAUGAGGCCCUUCAUGGCCUAUUCGGCCACCUUGUGGAGCUCGACCAGCUGCUUCAGCUGGUCGCUAAGGGGCAUCGGAUGUCCGGCCUCAGCAUACUGAGACCAGAAGACCUUCUCCGUCGAGCUCCCCUCCUCGGCCCUGUAGAAAGCGGCAGCAUCGAACACGCUGCGGGGCAGAUCUGCGAACGCUCCUGGAGAGCUCCGAAUUCGGGUAAGUAACAGGUAAUUCACAUUCACAUGCUUGCUUUGCAUGAAAAAUGCCUUACCCGCCGCUAUUUUCUUCAACGCCUCGAUUUCCUGAAGGGCCUUGUGGGCUUCGGCCUUAGCGGCUUUGGCGCUCUCAAGAGCCGAGGCAAGCUCGGACUCUCGAGUCUUCGAGUCGCGCUCCAUACUCUCAUGCUUUUCCACGAGAGCCUGGAGCUCUUGCUGUACUUCCGCCACCCGUGCCUCUUGCUUCUCUCGCCCGGCGCGCUCCACGGCCGCAUUACGUUCGGCCGCGGACACCGCCUCCUUCAGGGUCGCCACCUCAUUCAUGGCCCCUGAAGUACCCACGUUAUCCUUGUCAUUUCUCUUGCAACCAAAUCCUUUUCUGUAAGGUACAACUUUAGUAAGGUGUUACUCACCUUCCUUGUCCUCGAGCUGCUUCUUGGCAUGGCCGAGCUCGUUCUCGGACCGCUCGAGGUUUUGCUUCAAAGCAUUGACCUCCGCAGUCAGUGCGGCAGAGGUCAGCAGCGCAGCCUGCAAUCCCAUAUUGACAUAUUUAUUAAGACUCCUGCAUAUAUCUUUUUAGGUCCUCAGUCCGGCUUUUCUUUCCGAACACCGAACCGGGCAUCAGGGGCUACUGUCUAUGCGGUACUAUUUUACAUAUAUUAAUAUUCUUACCUCAAAGCCUGAUAGAAGGCUACUGCAGGCUUCGGUCAGCCCACUUUUGGCGAGCUGAACCUUCUAAAUCACCGAACUCAUGACAGUGCGGUGUUCCUCCUCGAUGGAAGCGCCGUUGAGCGCCUCCAGCAAGUUAUUCGGCGCCUCCGGUUGGACGGAGGCCGCCGGCGUCACGGUCUUGCCCUUCUUACAAAGGGGCCGCCCGCCGGACUCCGGAACCACUGCAGGUUCCAGUGCGGAGUCCGGUACGAAGUCCGGGAGGUCGCCCUGUGGCACCUCCGGGUCCUCCUCCUCCGGGUGGGUCCUUCUCUGGGAUCCCACCUCGGCGUCGUCAGCGUCACGGGGGGAGGAGGCGGUUGGAAGUGAAGUACUGUUCACAUCCGACGUGCCCAAGGACCCGCUCGACGAAGCGGGAAGAUCGUCCUUGGGCGGACUGCAGGGUUGUAUGCGGCGUUAGAAAGACACCAUGUGGCAGAAAGAAAAAUCAUGAAGUCAUUCGGGAGUCCAGAUACUUACGAUCUCGCCAGGGGCUUGGCCCUCGGAGGCCAAUCCUCGUCGUCAUCACCGGCAUGGGCGGAACAGUCCGGGGGAAGAGUCCUUCCCUUCUUGGACCCUUCGGCCUCCCUCGUUGGGGAAGCCUUCCUUUUCUUCCCUCCCCCCGGUGGGGGAGAGGCCUUUUUCUUCUCCUCCUCGUCCUCGUGGGAGGAGUCCGCCUCGGAGUCAUCGGACACCUGAAAACGGGAACUCUUUCGAGUGCCCGUGGCCUCCUUCUUGGCCUUCUUCUCCGGCACCACGUGGGGUGCCGGAACCAGCAGCCCCGCUAAACGGGCGUCCGCUGGGUCUUCUGGCAAAGGGGCCGGAUAGUUAGUCUACUCGGCCUUCUUCAGCCAGUCCUGUCAAAGGAGAGGGAGUUUAGAUCCCGCAUGGAGUCAAACUAUGGAAAACAAGUGUCCCGUAAAGGGUAAAAUCGCUUACCUCGCUAGCCUGGCGCUGCGAGCUGAAUCUGCAAUCUUCGGUAGCGGAUGCAGGAGCCUCGACGCCCUUAAACAGCACCUUCCAGGCAUCUUCGUACCUAGUGUCGAAGAGCCCACUCAUGGUUCGGUGCUGGGCCGGAUCGAACUCCGGCGGAUGAGCAUGACCCGGACUACGUUGACAAGCUUGAGCUUCUUGUUCACUAGCUUUUGGAUGCAGGCUUGGAGUCCGGUCAGCUCCUCCGAAUCGCCCCAAGUCAGGCCACUCUCUUUCCAAGAGGUGAGCCGUGUGGGGAUGCCAGAUCUGAAUCCGGGGGCCGCUGCCCAUUUAGGGUCACGCGGCUCGGUGAUGUAGAACCACCCCGAUUGCCACCCCUUGAUGGUUUCCACGAAGGCACCCUCGAGCCAAGUAACGUUGGGUAUCUUGCCCACCAUGGCGCCUCCGCACUCCGCUUGACUGUCCUUCACAACCUUCGGCUUGACAUUGAAGGUCUUGAGCCACAAGCCGAAGUGGGGCUGGAUGCAGAGGAAAGCCUCGCAGACGACGAUAAACACCGAGAUGUUGAGGAUGAAAUUCGGGGCCAGAUCAUGGAAAUCCAGGCCGUAGUAGAACAUGAGCCCCCGGACAAAGGGGUGAAGUGGGAAGCCCAGUCCGCGGAGGAAAUGGGGAAGGAAUACCACCCUCUCAUGGGGCCUGGGGGUGGGGAUGGGCUGCCCCUCGUUGGGGAGCCGGUGCGCGAUGUCGCUGGACAGAUAACCGGCGCUGCGCAGCUUCUUGAUGUGCCCCUCUGUAACGGAGGAGGCCAUCCACUUACCUCCCGCUCCGGACAUAGUUGGAGAAGGUUGAGGUGAGAUGUGCGGACUUGGGCGCUGGAGCUCGAGUGCGCGGAGAUGGAUAAGCAAAGGAGGAAGAAGGCGUAGGUAAAAAGGUGGAUCCUUAUCCCCUUAUAUAUGGGCGGACGAAACUAUGCGUCCCCACCGGCCAGAUAAAACUCGCUUUUCUCCCAAGCGCCGCAAUCAAUGGCGCGGUUGGGUUACCCACGUCCGUAUUGAUGGGAAUCCCGGAAUAAGGGGAACACGAUCUCUGCUUCGACAAGACGUGCCAAGGAAACCGCUUCGCUAAACACGCUGAGGUGGUAUAAUAAAAACGAUUCAAGUAAAGGCUUGGUUGUGGUGUGACGUCACGCCACGAAACACGUCAGCAGAUUGAACUUGUGUUAAUAUUAUUCUCUCUACGGUGGAAUGUGGAAUUUAUUUUGCAGAGCCGGACAGUAUCCUGGUGUUCACAAUCUUCUAUAAAUUAUUCAGAGGAGGAACCCGCCUUGCAAUGCCGAAGACAAUAUGCGCGCCGGACUCGUCGUCAUUAAAGCCUGGUUCAGGGGCUACUGAGGGAGUCCUGGACUAGGGGGUGUCCGGAUAGCCGAACUAUCAUCAUCGGCCGGACUCCAAGACUAUGAAGAUACAAGAUUGAAGACUUCGUCCCGUGUCCGGAUGGGACUUUCCUUGGCGUGGAAGGCAAGCUUGGCGAUACGGAUAUGUAGAUCUCCUACCAUUGUAACCGACUCUGUGUAACCCUAGCCCUCUCCGGUGUCUAUAUAAAUCGGAUGGUUUUAGUCUGUAGGACAUAACAACAAUCAUACCAUAGGCUAGCUUCUAGGGUUUAGCCUCCUUGAUCUCGUGGUAGAUCUACUCUUGUAAUACCCACAUCAUCAAUAUCAAUCAAGCAGGACGUAGGGUUUUACCUCCAUCAAGAGGGCCCGAACCUGGGUAAAACAUUGUGCCCCUUGUCUCCUGUUACCAUCCGCCUAGAUGCACAGUUCGGGACCCCCUACCCGAGAUCCGCCGGUUUUGACACCGACAAUGAGCUUCUGCCCAACAAAGUCAUCCACUCCACAAGCAUUGAAACUGUCAUACACUCCUGGAUAAUGCUCUUCAUUUUCCCUGAUAUAUUUCCAGUCCACCAAUCUCAUAUCAUAGAUAAUUGGCUUCUUAUCAAGCAGCACUAUCUCAUAGAAGUCCUGUUGUUCCUUUGUAUGGAACCUGUAGUCCACAAUAGUCCUUCUCCUGACAGCAUAGGGAUCUGUCAAUCUCCAUUGUCUGAGACAUGCAUCCUUCCUGAGCUUCAUAUCCUCAGCGACUGGGUGAGCAUCAUUGUGACCUGGAAUUUUGGGCUUCAACUUCCUCAAGACAUGUUCCUCAUCAUCUUCUUCUUCAACAGGAGCUUCAGGAACUGGGGCCUUGUUCUUCUCUCCAGCAGGAAUGUUCCUUGUAUUCCUCUUGGGUGCAGCUUUAGGCUUUGGAGCAGCUGCCUUGGGAGCUUCUUUGGGCUUUGAUGAAGCAACCCCUCACCUGAUGGCAUCGCCCAUAAGCUUCUGAGCUUUAGGUGCUGGUGCAGCAACCUCUUCCUCUUCUUCUUCUUCCAUCAUGGAAGGCUUUCCAACAACCCUGGCCAUGGUCUUCUUGACCCUUUCCUUCCUCUUCUUCCCUUCUGCAGCAACCUCUUUGGGUUCAGAUUCCAAGGGUACUUGAGUGGAGGCUCUGGCUUUAGACAUGGGAAUUCUUCUUGCAGGUGCUUUGGUCCUCAUGCCAGGCUUAGUGGCAGCAGGUGUGCCAUAUUCCUUCUUGAGCACCUUCUUCUUGGAAGUGGCCUCAUCCUCAACAGCCACAUAGUCUUCAUCCUCAGACUCUGAGGUUUUCUUCUUUCUGGCCCUGGUGGCUGCCUUAGGCAAGUUGCUGGGUGUGCUUCUGCUACCAUCAUAGCUGUUAGAGGGACUAGUGCCCUCACUCAUGUGAACGUGUUCCUCAGACUUGUUCUGACUGUCACUUUGAUCAGACAUGUUGCAAAUACUAACAGCAGUCCCUGUGAAUAGAUAUAGAUGAGGUAGAUAGGAUGAGCACCACAAAAUACAGAGGUUUUUGCAAAAGAAUGAGUCAAAAACUUAGUUUUAGUUUUCCACAGAAAGCAUUUCGGAUCUACCGAUUUGUAAACUCGAUGAUACCGAAGCAGAUUUUGGAACCUAAACUAGUGAACUCGGUCAGACCGAGUCACAGUUUGGUGGCACCGAGACUGCUAGGGUUUCACAAAGUCAUGAACUCGGUCACACCGAUUUGCAAUUCUCGGUCAGACUGAGAAUCACAUGUGCAAUGGCCUUGGCCAAAUCGGUGGAGCCGUUUCUACAACUCGGUUGGUCUGAGAUGGUUUCGGCGGAAACCUAACCCUAAAUUUUCAAUCCACAACUAAACUACGAAGUGUUUUCGCUGGAUAAUAUGAUCUCAAUCGUGGCAAGAUACAUGGCAAAACAAUGUGCUAGGAAUCAGAGUGAGAUUAGCACAAGGAUCAAGUCCAUACCCUAGUUCGGCGAUGGACUUGCUACGGCGGCAACGACGGAGACGAUUCCCGUUGACAGCGGCGGAGACCAGCGACGGGAGGCACCUGGCGACGACGAGACGAUCCGGAGACCCAGGGAGGUAGAGCAGGCUGAGCGCGGGCGAACGAGUUUGGAGAAAUUUCCAAAUUUUGGCUCAUGGAUAUAUAUAGCCUGACCCUGUCAGUGUGACCGAGUGGAACAACUCGGUGUGACCGAAAAGUUCAAAUUGGUUGCACCGAGAUUGAAAACCUAGAUCGAGUUAGUGAUCUUGGUAUGACCGAAAUGGAGGAAUCGGUCAGACCGAAACACACAAAGAAGUUUUGUAAGUUUAAGUCUAUGACGAAUCAGGGACUCCGAGUGCUCCUCACACAGAGUGGUUCGAAUCUGACUUAAUCAAACUUUGUGAUGUAGCAUGAACAGAGUUUGAGAGAAGAAAAGCAUAGAUAGCUAUAGAAGGUUCUUAGGCAUUCUUGUCCAUCCACUUGGCAAAAGAAAAGGAAUCAACCAAUCAAAACUACAAGUGGAUGUCCUCGAAUGAGUGAAAUAUGCAACCAACAUGCUCACACGAUAAAAUGACAAAUAAAAUAUGUGGCAAAGCACGCACAACCAUUCUAGCAUCUAUCAAGCAAUUUGCGAUGACUAGGUCAUCUAUAUAUGAGUAUAUUGACUUAGGAGUCAAAUGAGAACAUUUGAUCAUAGGUCAUACUCAUCGUUUAAGCUCAAGUGGGGUUACCACUUUUACAUAAUGCAUUGAUGUGUUCACAUCAUUAGAGUUGCUUUAACUCAAUUCUUAGAGUAAAGCUCCCCCUAGAUGUGAGAUCCCCCCUAAGAGGGAUGAACUAACCUUGGGUUUUGUCGAUGAUGACUUCAUGUAGGUGUUGAAGAUGUGGAUGCUCUAUGUUGAUGUAGAUCUUUUGGAGCAAUCCUUUGGAGUGAGUUGCACUUUCAAUACCUACACGGGUUAGUCCCACAAGGAACAAACAAGGAUAUCCAUAGACAUAGAGUGAUGCACACACAAAAUGAUGUCUAUGAAAGCAUUAGGUUACCUUGUCCCUUGUCUUACCAACAAGAGGGUUUGUGACUCCAUGAACUAGUGCAAGAUGUGGAAGUUGAUUGCACUUGUCCUCGCCAAAAUGAUAUGAGUGAAGUAUGUUGGCGGCGUCACCCUCAAGAACUCUCUAGUUCUUCUUAUUCGGGAUCCACAUCAUCUUGAUGGGAAUCCUUGGAGUUGUAGUCGUACUUGAUGAAGUAGAACUUAACAUAGUCUUGGGAACCCACUUGAUCAAGGCCUUAGGAGCUUCUUCAAAUGCAUCAAUCUCCUCUUGAAGCUUAUCCUUGCCUUUUUGCUUGUGGUCUUGUGGUGGAAGAUCAUCUUGAGCUUGUGUUCCUUUGAAGGAAGUAGGAUCAUACUUCUCUUGUUGAGGAACAAACUUCGUCUUGGGGUAUUGAUCUUCAUCCCACUCAACUCCAUUGCAUUGAACUUUCGUUCAAAACCAACACCUUGGUUCUUCCGGUGCCUUCCUUGCUUGCGUACAAUUUCCUCGAAUUGCUUACUCCCGGCAAGGCUCUUGUAAACACCUUUCUCUAUAACUCCCUUCAUAAGCUAUUUUCUUGCUCAAGUGUAACUUGGCUAAGAGAAUCAUUAGUGGAAUCAAGAGAACUAUUAGAAGCAACAACAUUGGAUUUAACAUGAUUAUUGUUACUACUAGAGGAAGAAUCCUUCUUGUUCUUGUUACUAGACUUGACUUGAGGCAUGUAAGUAGAUAAGAGUAAACGCUUGGCAAUGUAAGAAGAACUUUUCUUGCGAAGAUCAUCAUUGAUUGACUUUAAGAACUCAUGCUCUUGCUCAAAGUUGAGCUUUUCAAAGCGUAACUUCUCAUGAGUCCUUAAAAGUUCUCGAUGAUCCCCUAAGAUAGUUUCAUGAGCUAACUUAAGAGUGUUUAGUUCUUUAGUUAGAAGCUCAAUCUUCUCCUUAUCAUUGUCAUUCGUUUUAUCUUGAUUAGCAUGAUUAAUUGACGUUUCAUCAUAGUAUUCAUCACUAGAGUUGUCAAUAAGAAAAUCAUCAUCACCUAGCAAGUCAUCUUCAUCACUAUUGAAAUCAACAUACUCGGGGUGUGUUACCUUUGGGCCUUUAGCCAUGAAGCAUCUUCCAAGUCCUUCAUUUGGUGAAUCAAAUAUGUCGUAGGAGUUGGUUUACACAAGUGCUAGACCGGCAACACCUUCAUCUUGAGUAUGUUCGGAGUCAGAGUGAUAGCUUCUCUCGGAGUGAUUGUCGGAGUCGGAGCCGGAUACCCAUUCACCAACAUGAGCUUGAUGUCUUUGUUUUGUGUAGCUCCUUGAUGACUUGUCCUUCCUUUCUGAAUCCUUGCUUCUCCGGGAUGUUCUUCGUUCAUAACGAUCAUCUCUACUCCUUCUCUCUCUUGGUGGUGAUUCUUCUCUUCUACUUCUCCUCUUAGGUGAUUCUUCUCUUCUUUUGUAGGGAGCCGUACACUCAUUGGAAUAGUGUCCGGGUCUUCCACAAUUGUAGCAAUUACGCUCUCGACUAGAAGAUCUUUUGUCAUUGUAGGACCUUGACUUGGAGCUUCUCUCUUUGCUUCUACUCUUGUAGAACUUGUUGAAGUUCUUCACCAUUAGGCUCAAUUCUUCAUUGAAGGUUUGUUUCUCACUUGAUGAUGUGGGGGCUUCACAUGAGGCUUUGUAAGGACCACUUGACUUGUUGUGGAGCUCCUCCUUAUUCUUGAGUGACAUCUCAUGAGCAACAAUUCUUCCAAUGACUUCCGUUGGCUUGAGAUUUUUGUAAUUGGGCAUCAUUUGGAUCAAUGUGCACACGGUAUCAUAUUUUCCAUCCAAAGCUCUUAGGAUCUUCUUGAUGAUGAAUUUGUUGGUCAUCUCUUCACUUCCCAAGCCGGCAAUCUCAUUUGUAAUGAGAGCAAGCCUAGAGUACAUUUCAGCGACGCCUUCACCAUCCUUCAUCUUGAACUUGUCAAGUUGACUUUGAAGCACAUCCAACUUGGAUUCCUUGACGGAGUCGGUACCUUCGUGCAUAUCAAUCAAAGUAUCCCAAAUUUCCUUUGCAUUCUCAAGAUGGCUGAUUUUGUUGAAUUCUUCGGGGCACAAUCCGUUGAAGAGGAUAUCACAAGCUUGAGUAUUGUAUUGCAGCAUCUUCAACUCAUCCGCGCUAGCUUCACGGUUCGGUUCUCUCCCAACAAAGAAUUCACCUUGCAAGUCAAUACACAAUAGCCCAAACGACGGGGUUAUGUCCAAGAAUAUGCAUUUUCAUCUUAUGCUUCCAACUAGCAAAAUUAAUACCAUCAAAGUAAGGACCUCUAUGGUGAUAGUUUCCCUCGCUAGACGUCAUACUCUCCUAGGUUGUGAAACCAAGGCUAUGACCACCAAAGGCUAUGGAAAUCAAAGCAAAUAGAGACCAAAGCUCUGAUACCACUUGUAGGAUCGGAAGUAUGUCUAGAGGGGGGGGUGAUUAGACUACUUGACCAAAUAAAAACUUAUCCCUUUCCCAAUUUUAGUCUUUGGCAGAUUUUGGCUAACUUAGCACAAGUCAAGCAAGCAUGCAAAGAGUAUAUGAGCAGCGGAAUGUAAAGCAUGCAACUUGCAAGAAUGUAAAUGGAAGGGUUUGGAGAAUUCAAAUGCAAGUGGACACACAGAUGUUUUUGUCGUGGUUCCGAUAGGUGGUGCUAUCGUACAUCCAUGUUGAUGAAGACUUCAACCCACGAAGGGUAACGGCUGCGCGAGUCCACAGAGGGCUCCACCCAAGAAGGGUCCACAAAGAAGCAACCUUGUCUAUACCACCAUGGCCGUCACCCACGAAGGACUUGCCUCACUAGUGGUAGAUCUUCACGAAGUAGGCGAUCUCCUUGCCCUUACAAACUCCUUGGUUCAACUCCACAAUCUUGUCGGAGGCUCCGAAGUGACACCUAGCCAAUCUAGGAGACACCACUCUCCAAGAAGUAACAAAUGGUGUGUUGAUGAUGAACUCCUUGCUCUUGUGCUUCAAAUGAUAGUCUCCCCAACACUCAACUCUCUCUCAUAGGAUUUGGAUUUGGUGGAAAGAAGAUUUGAGUGGAAAACAACUUGGGGAAGGCUAGAGAUCAAGAUUCAUAGGGUAGGAAUGGAAUAUCUUGGUCUCAACACAUGAGUAGGUGGUUUUCUCUCAGAAAAUGUAAGUUGGAAAUGUAGGUUCAUUCUGAUGGCUCUCUCCACGAAUGAAGAGGAGGUGGAGGGGUAUAUAUAGCCUCCACACAAAAUCUAACCGUUACACACAACUUGCCAAUCUCAGUGGGACCGAAUUGAGAAACUCGGUCGGACCGAUUCAACAAAUCUAGUGACCGUUAGGAUUUUUGGUGGGACCGACAUGCAACUCGGUAGGACCGAUAUGGUUAGGGUUAGGGCAUAACGUAAUCUCGGUGAGACCGAUUACACAAACUCGGUGAUACCAAUUUUGGUAAUAAGCUAACCAGAGAGUUGGUCAGGUAAACUCAAUGGGACCGGUUCGCUCAUUCCGAUGAGACCGAAAUGUUAUGAAAGGGAAAUAGAGAGUUUACACUGCAAUCUCGGUGGGACCGAUCGCUCACCUCGGUGGUACCGAAACGUUACGAAGGGAAACAGAGAGAUUACAAUCCCAUCUCGGUGAGACCGAGAUCCCUAUCGGUGAGACCGUUUUGCCUAGGGUUUGUGGCAAUGGCUAUGACAUUUGAACUCGAUGGCGUCGGAUAGAAAGAAUCGAUAGGGCCGAGUUUGACUUUUGGUUUAGGUCAUAUGUGGAUGUGAGAAGGUAGUUGAGGGCUUUGGAACAUAUCACUAAGCACUUUGAAGCAAGAACCUCAUUAAGCAACACCUCAUCCCUCCUUGAUAGUAUUGGCUUUUUCUAUAGACUCAAUGUGAUCUUGGAUCACUAAAAUAUGAAAUGUAGAGCCAUGAGCUUUGAGUUUGAGCCAAUCCUUUUGUCCUUAGCAUUUUGAGGGGUCCACUUUUCUCAUCAUUGCCAUGCCAUUCAUUGAGCUUUCCUGAAAUAUUUAUCUUCGAAUAGCAUUAGCUCAAUGAGCUAUAUGUUGUUAGGAAUUACCGAAACCACCUAGGGAUAGUUGCACUUUUAAAAUCUCAUAAGCUCCGUUAGUGCAAGAAAGCAAACCACCAUUUUAAGGUACUGUAAUGAACUCAUUAUUUAUUUAUAUUGGUGUUAAACCUACUGUAUUCCNNNNNNNNNNNNNNNNNNNNNNNNNNNNNNNNNNNNNNNNNNNNNNNNNNNNNNNNNNNNNNNNNNNNNNNNNNNNNNNNNNNNNNNNNNNNNNNNNNNNNNNNNNNNNNNNNNNNNNNNNNNNNNNNNNNNNNNNNNNNNNNNNNNNNNNNNNNNNNNNNNNNNNNNNNNNNNNNNNNNNNNNNNNNNNNNNNNNNNNNNNNNNNNNNNNNNNNNNNNNNNNNNNNNNNNNNNNNNNNNNNNNNNNNNNNNNNNNNNNNNNNNNCCGAUACUAGCCAUAGAUUCAUCAAAAUAAGCAAACAACACACGAAAAACAGAAUCUGUCAAAAACAGAACAGUCUGUAGUAAUAUGUAACUUUCGAAUACUUAUGGAAACUAAAAAUCCUACCAAAAUAGGAAGUCCUAGGAAAUUUGUCUAUUAACCUACUUCAAAAAGAAUCAACUCAAAAGCACGUUUCUGUGAUUUAUUAAAACUAUUCUCGUGCGCGCAAAUGUUUUUGUUUUUCAGCAAGAUCAAAUUAACUAUCACCCAAGAUGAUCCUAUAGGUUCUACUUGGCACAAACACUAAUUAAAACAUAAAACCACAUCUAAACAGAAGCUAGAUGAAUUAUUUAUUACUAACUAGGAUAAAAAAGCAAGGAACAAAAAUAAAAUUGGUUGCCUCCCAACAAGCGCUAUCCUUUAAUGCCCCUAGCUAGGCAUAAAAGCGAGAAUAGAUCUAGCAUUGCCAUCUUUGGUAUUCAAAUCAUAAGUAGCUCUCAUAAUAGAUUCAUAAGGUAGUUUCAUUUUCUUUCUAGGAAAGUUUUCCAUGCCUUUCCUUAACAGAAAUUAGAAUCCAAUAUUUGCUUCCUUCAUAUCAAUAAUUGCACCAAUCGUUUUAAGGAAAGAUCUACCAAAAAUAAUAGAACAUGAAAGAUUGCAAUCUAUAUCAAGAACGAUAAAAUAAACAGGCACAUAAUUCCUAUUUGCAACAAUAAGAACAUCAUUAAUCCUUCCCAUAGGUUUCUUAAUGGUGGAAUCCGCAAGGUGCAAGUUUAAAGAGUUAUCAUCAAAAUCACGAAAACCUAACACAUCACACAAAGCUUUUGGAAUCGUGGAAACACUAGCACCCAAAUCACACAAAGCAUAGCAUUCAUGAUCUUUAAUUUUAAUUUUAGUAGUAGGUUCCCACUCAUCAUAAAGUUUUCUAGGGAUAGAAACUUCCAGUUCAAGUUUUUCUUCAUAAGAUUGCAUCAAAGCAACAACGAUAUGUUUAGUAAAAGCUUUAUUUUGACUAUAAGCAUGAGGAGAAUUCAACACGGAUUGCAACAAGGAAAUACAAUCUACUAAAAAACAAUUCUCAUAAUUAAAUUCCUUAAAAUCCAAAAUAGUGGGUUCAUUGCUAUGUAAAGUUUUGACCUCUCCAAUCCCACUUUUACCAAAUUUAGCAUCAAAAUCUAAAAACUCCGAAUCAUUGGGACGCCUUUUAACUAAAGUUCACUCAUCUCCAGUCCCAUCAUUAUCAAGAUUCAUAUUGCAAAACAAAGAUUUAAUAGGGGACACAUCAAUCACUUUUAGAUCUUCAUCAUUAUUUUCAUGGAAACUAGAAGAACACACUCUUACAAAGCAAUCUUUCUUAGCACGCAUCCUAGCGGUUCUUUCUUUGCACUCAUCAAUGGAAAUUCUCAUGGAUUUGAGAGACUCAUUGAUAUCAUGCUUAGGUGGAAUAGAUCUAAGAUUCAAAGAAUCAACAUCAAGAGAAAUUCUAUCCACGUUCCUAGCCAACUCAUCAAUCUUAAGCAUUUUUUCUUCAAGCAAAGCAUUGAAAUUCUUUUGGGAAAUCGUAAAUUCUUUGACACUAAUCUCAAAAUCAGAGGGCAUCUUAUUAAAAUUUCCAUAAGAGUUGUUGUGGGAAUUACCAUAAUUAUUAGAGGAAUUACUAGGGAACGGUCUAGGACUAAAGUUUCCUCUAUAAGCAUUGUUACCAAAAUUAUUCCUACCAACAAAAUUCACAUCCAUAGAUUCAUUAUUAUUCUCAAUCAAAGUAGACAAAGGCAUAUCAUUAGGAUCAAAAGGAGCACUCUUACUAGCAAACAAUUUUAUAAGUUUAUCCAUCUUUCCACUAAAAACAUUAAUCUCUUCUAUCGCAUGAACUUUUUUAUUGGUAGAUCUCUCGGUGUGCCAUUGAGAAUAAUUAACCAUAAUAUUAUCUAGGAUUUAGUAGCUUCUCCUAAAGUGAUUUCCAUAAAAGUGCCUCCCGCGGUCGAAUCUAAAAGAUUUCUAGAAGCAAAAUUCAAUCCGGCAUAAAAACUUUGUAUGAUCAUCCAUAAAUUUAAUCCAUGUGUAGGGCAAUUGCGAAUCUUAAUUUCAUCCUCUCCCAAGAUUGUGCAACAUGCUCAUGAUCAAGUUGCUUAAAAUUCAUAAUAUCGUUUCUAAGAGAGAUGAUCUUAGCGGGAGGAAAAUACUUAGAGAUAAAAACAUCUUUGCACUGAUUCCACGAAUCAAUACUAUUUUCAGGCAAAGACGAAAACCAAGUUUUAGCACGUUCUCUAAGCGAAAACGGAAAUAACUUUAAUUUAACAAUGUCAUUAUCCAUGUCUUUCUUCUUUUGCAUAUCGCACAAAUCAACAAAAUAGUUUAGAUGAGUAGUCGCAUCUUCACUAGGAAGGCCAGAGAAUUGAUCUUUCAUGACAAGAUUCAACAAAAUGAACGCAGCCCAAGCAGCUCGAGUGCAACCCUCAAAUUGAAUUGUGUAAGCCGAUCUUGCCAUGUACAUGCCAUUUGCUGUCCACUUCCAACGAACCCGAUCAGGCUCUUCUGUUAGGUGUAAAUUUUGGACUCCUUCCCACAGCGUCAGGAAUUCCCUUGUUGCCUGUGCAGAUAGGUUUGUUUUGAGGUGUCUAAUCCAUCUGUUGUUCUCCAUGGCUUGCGCAACAGUGAGGUUUUUCCUGGUGCAAUGUUGAAACAGCGUCAGGAAGGCAUCCUGGAGGUUGAUGCCCUUAAACCACGGCUCCUUCCAAAAGAGAAUGCGGUCACCCUUGCCCAGCUGGAAGUCAACUGAGGCGUUGAAGAGCGAUCUGACCGCAGGAUCGAUAGGCAGCUCCAGCCCCUGGCAUGCCUUGUUGCUGUCGGUCCAGGAAAGCCACAGCCACCUCAUCCGUAGGGCGCGACUUUGGGUUGUCAGGUUGAUGAUGCCAAGCCCACCGUAAUCCUUUGGCCGACAUAUUGUACCCCAGUUGACAAGGCAUUUCCCUCCGACCGCCACCUCGCUGCCCCCCCNNNNNNNNNNNNNNNNNNNNNNNNNNNNNNNNNNNNNNNNNNNNNNNNNNNNNNNNNNNNNNNNNNNNNNNNNNNNNNNNNNNNNNNNNNNNNNNNNNNNNNNNNNNNNNNNNNNNNNNNNNNNNNNNNNNNNNNNNNNNNNNNNNNNNNNNNNNNNNNNNNNNNNNNNNNNNNNNNNNNNNNNNNNNNNNNNNNNNNNNNNNNNNNNNNNNNNNNNNNNNNNNNNNNNNNNNNNNNNNNNNNNNNNNNNNNNNNNNNNNNNNNNNNNNNNNCCCCCCCCAGAGGAACCCACGUCGAACCUUAUCAAUCAGCUUAGCCAGCCAAGCCGACAAUAUCAAGGCGAGCAUUUGGAAGAUCGGCAUCGCCGAGAGCACGGUUCUGACAAGAUCCAACCGUCCAUCAAGAAUGUGACAUGUUAGCUCAACCAAG
RNAcentral lists this long non-coding RNA (57514 nucleotides) under Triticum aestivum (bread wheat). Its description in RNAcentral is "long non-coding RNA (TAES_LNC007601)". The stretch from base 5975 to 6099 matches the Rfam family "MIR1120/MIR1122 microRNA precursor family". The record is from RNAcentral. Lineage: Eukaryota; Viridiplantae; Streptophyta; Magnoliopsida; Poales; Poaceae.